AAAACAUUAUAAUUUUAUUUAUUUAAUAGUGGAGCUAGGCUGCUGCUGUACUAUCAGUAGUAUAGAAGCUUCUGUACUACCAAGUUGUUUUUAAUGAUGCGGCUUCCGAAUCAACGAUCGUUUUUUUAGAUAUGAUCUACGCUGUUGAAAAUAUUUAGAAAUCAAAUUUUAUUUUUUUUCGACAUUAUUUUACAAGUGAUCAAAAUAUUUCAAAAUUGAUAAUUUUAAUGACUGAUGUGUUGCGUUUAUAAAUUUAACGGUGUAAAACAAUUCAAAUAUGAUGAAAUUUUUAUAGAAAAUUUUCUUUACUAUUUAAAGUAAGAUCAGUACUUCUAAUCUUAAAUUCAAAUCUUUUAUCAUUAUUUUUUAUGAAAUUUUUAUUUUCAAUCGUUUAUUUUUAGACUACUCGUUUAAUAGGUAAAUGAUGUAAAAACUUAUAAAUUUUAGUUUUUUAAUACGUUCAAUAGCGUAGAUCAAGUACAACGUAACCGAUUGUCGAUUUGAAAUUCGCAUCAUCGAAAAUAAAUUGAUAGCAUGAUGGCCUCCGUACUACUGAUAGUAUACUGACUGAAUUCGAAAGUUUAAAGGGUCUCUUGGAAAUUUUCCCCAAAUUACGAGCUUAUCAAAAAAAAAAAAGUAAAAAUUAGUGGACCAAAGUGAAAUUGUAGUGAAAGUUCUAAGUGGUAAUGCAAUUUGACCGGUUAUAGGUCGGCGAGGAAAUUGGAAUGGAAUUUGUUUUCCCCAAAACUUGCGAUGGGGGGACUUAAUUCGGAUCGGGUGGAAUUAAUUCGACCCGGAGAAAGUUGGUGGACGUUCUCACACCCAACGUUGACCAAAGCCCCCGAAAGUUGACUUUUUUUGCCUAAUUAGACUUUAAAAAAAAAACGAAAAUCAUUUCCCUUAAUAUUAGGCUCGAGAUUUAUCGCGGGAUUCGUAGCAUCUCUAUUCCCAAAAAACAAAAAAGAAAUAAAAAAUCAAAUCAAAUCAAAUCAAAUCACACUCCCAUCUCUCUUCUUCUUCUUCUUCUUCUUCUUCUUCUCCAUCUACCCCAACACACACGCCUCGGGUCAAUGCGGUGCGAGGAGCGGUAGAGGAAUCGAGGGCUCUUCGGCCACCGAAUCCACGUUGGGGAAGCGAUUCCCCCGAUCGCGGGGCGGAAAAGCUCGGUUUUGGUGGGAAAAAGGGGGAGGAAAAGCUCGUCUUUUUGAGCUGUCGAUAGCUUCGGAUCCGAGAGCGCGAAGGAGCUUUUUUGGAUGAGGGAUCUCCGACCCCCCGGAUCUACGUACGAGAAGCGCUUCUUUCGGUUGCGGUGUGGAAAGCUCGAUUGAGGUGGGGAAAAGGGGCGAAAAAGCUCGCCUUUUGAGCCUUCCCUUUGCUGGAUCCGAGAAAUUUGAGGUAAAAGAGCUUUUUCAUGGGGUUUUAGGGUUUCUCGGGGGUUUCUGAGAAAACCCAGAUGGGGGCGUGCCCUGAUUGGCGCCUGAUUCGUACUGUUUAGGGUUUCCGAACCCCUCGAUUUAGGGUUUUUGUGGCGUUCAUCUGAUGAGGAUGGAGGAGAAUGCGGCGCUCCACACUAUACAGAGCUCGAUCCAAGCGUUGGGGAGGGGAUUCGACGUCAACCACGACACGAGGCUUCUAUAUUGCAAAGGGAUCGCGGGGUCUCGGCUAAUUGAGGUGGAUGCGCACGCUAGGGAUUUGGCGGUGUUCGAUGGCGUGGUUGUGCCCAAUGUGUCGAGGGAUGUGAAGUGUUCUUAUGAUAGUGGUGGAAGAGAGGGAACUGGUGCUUGUAGUUUCUAUGAGGUGUGGUAUAACUGUUACUAACUAAUUUCCCUUUGCUUUCUCACGUUAAAUUUGGUAUUUAAUUUGCAUUGGAGAUAGUUGUGCUUUCCCUUCGAAUCAGACAUUUGUAGUUUAUUGUGUAGUUGGUGAAAACAAAUUUAUAUUGUUUAAUAUGUGUUGUAGGAGGUUUUAAUUGGUUAUGGUAUCUAGUGAAGGGUGUGAUUGUUAGGGUGAUUAGGGAUUUUAGGUUCUUGAAGAUCGAGAACUGCUUCUCUUGUCCUGGUUGUUGGUUCUCUCAGAUUAAGCUUUUGUAGUGCUUUACAUGGUUAGGUCAGAAUUAACUAUGGAGGUACUUGUGUAUUUUGACCUCUAAACUAUGAGAUCUGAUCGCCCAAACUAGAGUGGAAGUCAUGCACUUAGUGUAUUGAGCGUUUUGCAUGUAUUACAUAUUGUUCUAGUUUGAUUAGAUAUUAUGUAUUUUAGAUUCAUAGAGAGCUAAUUAAACCUCAUUUUAAGUUAUAAGUAUGUGUUAGAUUAUCUAUAAUCCUUGUACUCAUAUUAAAUUGGCUAUUCUACUGGAGUUUUUCUAUUGAAAAAUUAGUCAUCAAUAUGUAGAAAUUUCUACAAACCAUGGAAAUAAUGCUAAAACAUAAUGGUUUUAAGUGUUUACCAUCUCCAUUGUGUGCAAUAUAUCAAUGCAAACUCAUUAUUUUGCUGAGUUUAUGUGACGAUUCGGCUUCUGUGUAUCAAAUCUUAGAGCUCAAAUUGAAGUAGUAAAUUGGAGCAAAUCAAGUUUACUUACAAUACAAGUGCCUGCAGAAAGGAUGUAAUGAAAUAAAUGGAUUUUCAGUGGUUGAUAUUUUAAAGUUGCAGAUUGCUAGUAAGUAGUAAGUAAAACCUAAUCAUAGGAAGCUAUGCUAUUUGUUGCCAUUGAGAUGUAUCGUAUACAAUAUUGAAGUGCAAACAAACUGUAGUUAGGGCAUUUGGGUGCCUCGUAUGAUUUAUUUGACAUAUGGGAUAUUGUUUACUGGUGCUUUUAUGGCAGUAAUAACUUCCUUGCAUUGUCAUAUUACGGGGACCUGUUUGGAUGUCGGAACAAAUUUUAUAGUGCCAAAUUUUCACAAUUAUGGAGAUUUCUUUUGUGACUGCAACCCAAUAGCUUGAUUUUCAAUCCAUUGUGAGCUUCCUUUAAAAUUAUAUCCCUAUGUGCAUUCUAUCAUGAUUCAUAACAAGCUUUAAUUAACAAACCUUGAGAUUGAUUUUAGUUUUUCAGCUGUUAAUUUACUUCUAUCAUUCCAAAAAGAAUCCGGUUUAAUGAUUAUGUUAUUUACUGUUAUAGUAACGCAGGUUUGAUUAUAUAGGUCACCAAUUCUCAUUAUUUUCUCAUUUUUCCCUUGGUAAGCGACCGCAGAUGGCAGAAUAUUUCAAUAGAAAGGCUAAUCUAUCAGGGAACAUCCCCCUUGGAUGCUUCAAUUCUGCAUUUAGCUUCACAGGAUUGAAGAAAACUGAUGCUGCAUCUACGAAGAGCCUCGCCAUGGAUGGGAAGUUCAUCCCUUUAUGUAAAGUUCAGAUUAUAAAGCAAUCCCUAACAUUGAAAGAAGAGGUGAGGCGUGCUGUGCCACUUUCAUGGGACCCAUCAUCUUUAUCAAGGUAAAGAUGCAGAUUUUUCUGCAAAAGUAAGCAAGUUAUGUAAUGGAGCACCUUGAUAAUUUCAACUUGUAUACAGGUUUAUUGAGAAUUAUGGCACUCAUAUUAUUACAUCCAUUACUAUCGGUGGUAAGGAUGUAAUCUAUGUCAAGCAGCACAGUUCGUCGCCUUUGUCAGCCAUGGAAAUUAAAAAUUACGUACAAGACCUCGGAGAGCAGAGGUUCUCUGAAAGCGAGAGCCACACGAGCUCAGGUCCAAUGAAAGUGAAGGAUAAGGCUAGUGCUUUUGUGCUAUUCUCUUGGAAGUUGCUCACGAGCAGUAUAAUUAGCAUAUGUUGCUGUUAUGUCCCUCUGACUAUUUGCUGCUCAUGGUUUGCCAGGCUGUGGAUCCUUUCGUAUUCAACAGCCAGGGAGUAUAUCCGCAACCUCCUAACACGCCGUAUCUUACCGCAAAAGAGGCAAGUGAAACAUCUUCUCUUUUAUUAUCUACUUUUGUGUCUUAAUACUCCAAUGAUUAAAGAAGUGCAAACAAGUCCUACAUGCUGGUUGACAUAUGAGUCUAGAAAUAAGGAAUAUAGGUUGGAGGAGGAGAAUUACUUUUGUUUCUUCAUUUUACCCUCUAUAUUUGAAACCUUACACACAGUUUGGACUAUGAAAUUUCUCUUGGGGGACAUUGGCAAUUUGGUGAUGCUUCCAUUAUUUAACAAUGUUUAUGACUUCUUUCUUAGCUUUGGUCCCUUUUGGAUACAACGCUAAUGAUCAGACAAGAUUACUACAGAUUUGUUUGUAGGCCUAGCUAGAGCAGCUGUAGAAGUGCUGUUUAUGAAGAGUAGCUGCUCGAAAUAGCACUAGCAUCCUUUUCAUUUAAAUAAUAAAAUCUCCGCAACAGCUUAUUGCUGUAGCAGAAGUGAAAACUUCAAAUUGCUGUUUCUGUAUCGCUUCAGCAAAAGCACCAAUUCUUUGGUUUGCCAAAUACCUGGUAGCAGCUAGCUUAUCUGUAUCAGAAGCUAGGUGCGAUGGGCAUUAAGACUGAUAUUCAGCACGGACACUUCUAUAAGCCUCACGUGUCCGUGUCGGACACGUGUCCUAUGUGGACACUUUUCGAACGCCCGUUUAAUAUUUAUUCAUAGUGCAUACAACUAAAAAAAUAUAUACCUAUUUUUAUUUUACUUUUUUUUAUACAUAUGUAAUGUAUGAUAAUAAAUAUUUUAGCUUUUUGAUGAAUACAUAUAUAUAUUUUUUUUGACAAUAUAAAUAAAUUAUCUAUGGUGGAGAAUUUUUUUCCUUAAAAUAUAUGAACUAUCAAUAAAAAUUUUACUAAUUUUCAUUCGUAUGAGAAAUAUAACAAUAUUUUAUCCAAAUUAAUAUUUUAUAUAUAAUAAAAUAUAUUAUUAUAUUAAUAAUAUUAUAUUUUAUUAGCGAUGUUUAUGUCGUGUCCGUGUCCUAAUUGUUUGAAAGUUGCCGAGUCGCGGUGUCUAAGUCAUGUCGUGCCCCGUGUCCCGUGUCAGUGUCCGUGACGCCUAGAUAUUCAGCCAUGAGGCCAGAUGAUAAGAUGCACUACUAAGCAUGGCAGGAAGUAUUUUGCAGUUAAACUAUCCAUUGUAAAGCCCUUCAUAUCAAGUGAUUAAUACAUUAGGACUCUGAGAAUCCUAAUUUACUGAAUUACAUGCUAGGUUUUAUUCAAGUAUUCUAUUUCAAGGAGGAGAUUUUUUUUUUAAUAUAUUUCCUGUUUUCAUGUCAUUGCAAAUUAUGGUCUUGACGAGCAGACAGAAGCAUGUGCAUUGUUUUUGCCCUCCAUCAUUGAAACUCUGCUCGAUACCUCCUGUAAACAGAAGAUACCAUAUCCGAUGAUAGAUUUUAUGGCUUAUAUUAUACUAUCUGCUACUCGCCAUUUGUAUUGGUUUGAUUAUCAAACAAAGUUAUGGUAGGCUGAAUGAGAGACUCCUGUAAAGUUUGCUGUUUUCAUGUUUAGUUUGUUACGAUAUCUAUAUGAAAACAGUUGCUUAAGACGAUAUCUAUAUGAAAACACUUGCUUAAGCCUCUCAACUAAUGAUGCGAUUUUGAAAUGUCCCUAUAUUCUGAUGAAUUUACUUAUGCAGGAUGUAACAGUAAUUUUCAGAAGAAGGGGAGGUGACGAUCUAAUUCAAAGCCACACUCAUUGGGCAAGAACCAUCCGUUCAGCACCCGAUGUUAUUGAUAUGACCUUCUUUCCAAUCACUUCUCUACUUGAAAGGGUGCCUGGAAAGGACCAUCUUAUCCGUGCUAUCAACCUUUACCUCGAAUGUAAUGUACCGCCAUAGUUGAUAUACGCUCUAGAUCAAAAUCUAUAACUAGACUCUGAAUUGUUCUAUUGGAUUCUGCAGAUAAGCCCCCAGUUGAGGAGCUAAGAUACUUCUUAGAGUUUCAGGUUCCUAGAAUAUGGGCCCCAGUUCAAGAUGGGCUUCGAGGACAGCGAAGAAAAGAGCCAGUGUGCCCAUCUUUGCAGUUCAGCAUAAUGGGAAAGAAGCUAUAUAUCAGCCAAGAACAGGUACGCAGCAUCGAGAAUGGAAUGUCGGCCUUGAAAACUGGCUAAUACCUUUUUCUCGAAAUAUAUUUGAGCCAGAGGUGUUUUAUAAGAGACGGCUAUAAAAUCUCAUUAUGAAGAUGAAAUGGCGUAGACAAAGCACAAGUAUCACUUCUUUUAUUGUUUGUCAAUCAUCCGGAGGGCUGAAACGAAAGCACAUGUGAAUGAUAAUGUUGGACUAUUUAUUUGAAAAUUUUGCGCUGUUAGUGACAGAUGUCCUGUAGUAUCAUAAUUUUCGUGUUAGAAAAAAAAUAGCAAAAUUGACCUUCCUUUUCUGGACGUUUCCUAUUGCACUAAAACCUUCAAUAUGUGCAGAAUAUAUAAUGCCGCCACUGUAUUUUGCGGAUUAUUAAUUCUGUACCACAGAAUCAUUAUUAUCUAUUUUUUUUCCUUAGUAAAUCUUCAUUUUGCAUAAUUUACAUGGACUCUGCGGAUUCUUAUUUCCACAUCUAGUCUUAUGCUUCUUUUAUAACUAAAAAAAGUAACUUCUUCAGGUAACAGUUGGGCGAAAACCAGUCACUGGACUAAGACUCUGCUUGGAAGGCCCAAAACAGAACCGACUAUGCAUACAAGUGCAGCACUUAUCGACCCUACCCAAGAUCUUCCAACCCUACUGGGAUGCCCAUGUGGCGAUUGGCGCACCAAAAUGGCAAGGACCCGAGGAACAAGACAGCCGAUGGUUCGAGCCUGUUAAGUGGAAGAACUUCUCCCAUGUCAGCACGGCUCCGGUUGAAUACCACGAGUCCUUCAUCGGCAACACCUCCGGCGUAUACGUAGUCACCGGGGCUCAGCUUGGAGUGUGGGAUUUCGGUGCAAAGAAUGUCCUUUACAUGAAAUUGUUAUAUUCUAAAGUACCUGGAUGCACUAUUAGGAGAUCAUUAUGGGACCAUAGCCCUACUGCUGCUGCUGCUACACCUACAAUUACCUUGGACGACAAACCUGAAUCUGGCGACUCGAGCUCGAGCUCGAGUUCAGCGGAUGCGGGCAGGUUGCUGAAGUUUGUGGACAUGUCGGAGAUGUAUAAAGGGCCGGACGAUAUACCCGGGCACUGGUUGGUGACGGGCGGGAAGCUCGGUGUUGAGAAAGGGAAGGUUGUUUUGAGAGUUAAGUAUUCUUUGUUGAACUACUGAAACCAGUUUGUUUUACGGGUGUUGACGGUUGUUGUGCAUUUUGCAUGUAUAUUAUGGAAAAAUUUGCUUCGAUUAAAUUUAGUGAGUCGAAGAUUUGAUUUUCCCCACAAGCAUUUCUCAUAGUUAGUUGAUCAAGCUUCCUUUUCUGGAGUGCUCAGCAAGGCCUAGGGAAGUUGAGGUUCCUGAAUAAUUUAUUUCCUGUAGGAGUUAUGGUACAAGUACCUCACAAGGGACAUCAAAAUUCAGUUCCUGACAAGUAGUUGGUUCAGCUUUUAAGUUUCCCACAUGGCGCAUAACAAGGACAUCGAUUUGGAAAAAGCUAAACCUGUCACUUUUGCUACGUGCGCAAUAUUGAUUCAUCAAUUAUAUUUUGAAGUGCUUUUCGACUGUACUGGUGCCAUUACUCUUCUGGUGAAGUAUGUUGAUUCAGAUUCAGCGAGAGGCUACCGACACUUUAGCAGUAAUCCAUGGUCCUCAAAGUCCUUGCCUUAAACUGUAUAAUAUCUCUGUGCCAUAGUUUCAAACUAGGUUAAUUGUUGUUCCUGUAGGUUUCACAUCUUAUCUUUUUAGUUUGCAGUAUUUUGUUAGUGUUCUAAACCAGCUGAGAAUAAGUUCUGUUAUAGUAAAUUAUACAGUUAGUCUCUGACCUUUUGGACGAAUUAAAAUUUGAUUUCUGAUCUCUAAGUUGAACCGAUUAAUUCGUGAUCCUAGUCUUUCUCCAUGAUUAGAGAUGAACUGUAAGCUCUAAUUUGUCCUGUUAGGGACCAAAUUAAAGCAAUUAGGCCUGAUAUCUAGUUAUCUAUGGAGGGCCCUGUUAUUUUCAUUCUGAUGUUUUAGGUCUAUAUUUGACCCAGCAACUGCUUCCAUAGAAAGUGAUGCUUGGAUAGAGUUUCUCAAAAAGUCCAAUGUUACAGUUGGAUCUACCAAACUGCUUGCUGUUAAGCUGGAAGAGCAACAGCUUAGGCAUUCAAAGUUAGAGAUUUUGUUUUCAAGACUCCAUUUCGCCCGACAACUCGAAUCUUUGUUUGCAGAACGCAUUAUUUUUACUUCUUAUAUACAAAACACAUUUUACAAAAUGUAACAUACACCGAUAUGAAGUGAGGAAAAAGUUUUUAUCAGGCACAUUUUUUUCACUAGCACUCAUCCCUACUGUAAGAUAUUAAUCUGGCAGCGGAAAGGAAUGCGUCUAAUAAAGAUGCAUCUGGAGAUUUUGCUUUGCAAACUCAAUUCAUCCGACCAUUCAGAACAUUAUCUCUCAAAUAUUUUGCUUUUUGCUUCUUAUAUACGAAAGACAUUUUGCAUAUCGAACAACUAAACAAAUACCUAAGUUUUUAAUCAGAAUCAUUGUUUUUCACAAGCAUCCCGUCCUACUGCAAGAUAUUAAUCUGGCAAUAGAAAGGAAUGCACUUAUUAGAGAGACAAGUGCUUUUCACCAUGUAUUUUACCACUGUGGGAGACAAAGCAAACCAAAAUGGCAUCUCACACCCAUAUUUACAUCAACACCUUUUAAUAGAAGAAUCAUAUACAUAUAACAUAUUCAAAUAUUCCAAUUAAAAUAGAACUCUCACACCCCACAAAAGUACUACAACACCAUCAUAUCCCCACAAGCAUCUCUCACCCAUGUGAUGAGAAGUGGGGGAGCUACAAACAAUGACUAAAAUAAAAUCUAAUAAUAAGAUGUCCUUGGCACCUUCACCAAAAACCAAAUAUAUAUAAUACACCCGUCUAAUUAUAUUAAUACAUCCAUAUAAUUUUAUGUUUGUAUUAAUAUAAUCUCCCUACUAAUUAAUUAUGGUUUGUAGAGAGGGACUUAGCGGGUGCUAAAAGUGGAGCAACCUCUGCAUAGCCAAAUUCCUCUCUCUCCCUCUCUCUCUAAAAUGAGGAAAAAGAAAAUGUACACAUAUAUAUAUGUAUAUUGCAAACUAGCUAGCCAGUAGUAAAUAAAUAUAAUUAAUUUUUUAUUUAAAAUUGGCCGCCCUCGAAGGUCUGGCCGAAUUGCCAGUUGGCCGGGGCGACGUUGUAGCUGGUGAUGGUGCGGCCGUCGCUGGCGGUGACCUGGAAGGAGAGGGACUGGCCGUCGAGGUACGAGUUGCUCUGCCAGUUCUGGCCCCAGUUGCGGGACAUCGGCUGCCACCCCGUGUUCGACCCCUUGAUCGACACAGCGUGCACGUCGCCCGCGCCCGCCACGUUCGUGAUCAGCACCAGGUUGAAGUACGAGUGACCGUUGACGGUGAAUCGGACACCGCCUUUCUUUACGCAGGGCACCCUGCAGUCCCAGAAUUACAAAAGUUAUAAAAAGAGUGGAUUUUGUGACAGAUAUCUGGGCCCAAGAAGAUCACCACAUCCCCAUGUUGAGUCCGGGCCAGAAGUGGACCCAAACCUAGACUAGGACUUGGUCCCACUUAACUACAAAUUUAUGGUACAAAAGAUGUAGUUUAAUAUUUGACAUGAAGCUAGUUUAAUCCAAACCGAGCUAAUUUAGAUUGGGUUCGAGCCAUGGGCUAGCUAAAUAAGUCAACGUAUAUGAUAGUAAAUCUCACCUUCUGUAGGCCACGGGUACGAUUCCCGCACGGUACUGAGCAAUUUGGAGGAAUGCCGGCUCGGCCAUGUCGAAGUGCGGGCGGGGAGGGUUGCACCACCCGCCGUCGUCACUCGGGAGGCCGUAAUUCGGGGGGCAGAAGUUCGUAGCGGUCACUAUGAUCGAGCCAGGCAGGCACCACUGCGGGUCAUCGUCGCACCGCAUCUCGUAGCACGACCCGCAGCUAAGGCCGUCAUUGAACAGCGCGGUGCUCAGGGCUGCGGUGUUCGUCCCGUACCCCUGGCUGUACAAGUUUCCGUACCCGCAAGCCCCUCCUGCAUGAUGCGACAAAUAAAAUCAACACACUUUUCAAAAAAAAAAAAAAAGAAAAAAUAAAGUUACAAGUGUAUUCGUCUUCAGAUGCACGGGGAAUUCUGUCACUGAGGAAUGUCAGAACUAAGAUGUGCAAUUAUAUUUCUGGUCGAAAAUGUUUAAAGAAAUUACCCAUCGUGGCCGGACUCACACCUGGCGCCAGUAAAAUGUCGCGGUGCGCGCCCUGCCUAAAUCGCAAAGAUCCCAAAGCUACCUCAAGAGGAAGAGAAAUGAAGGGAAGAAGAAACAAGAAAAGCCAUAGAAGGAACCAUGACUGUCCAGUUGAGGAUAACUAACAGAGAGAAAGAGCGUUAUAAAGAGGGGGGGCGGGGGGGGGGGGGGGGGGAGGAUUGAAAUUGUGUGGUGUGGGGUUUAGGGCUACUUGGUAGAGGAGAAAAAGAUGAAGGAGAGGGUGCUAGUAAUUGAUAGAAAAGAGAGUGUGGCGGUAGCAGUAUACAUCAGUUUCUAAAAAUAAAAAAAAUUUCCUCUUUUUUUUUCUUUGCUUUUUAAAUAAUUUGUUAUUUUAUUUUUAUUUGUUAUUUUUCAUUUUUAUUUUGUAGAAAAUAGAAGAGACAACUUGGGUGUUCCACAUUGUUGAAAGGGAUUGGAGUAAAUGGGGACAAAAGGGGGAGCACAUGCAAAUGUUUUGGGGGGGUUGGGAGUACCAACCACUAAGGACCCUCAUGUGGGGCCCACUACCUCCCCUCACCCACAUGCACUCUUUCAACAUUUUCCUUUUUUAUUUUAUUUUGUUAUUUUAUUUUAUUUUUUGAAAAAGAAUUAUAGUUUUCUUUUUCUUUUUAAGAUUGAAUAAAAGUUCUCCUCUUGUGUUAUUCACCCAAAUGUGUGAGGGGUUAAGAGUAACUCACAAUGAAGGAGAACUUUUUCCAUUAGUUCAAAAUGUAUCAUCUAGUUUUCGACAGAAAUUAAUAUAAGAUUAUUUUAUAAACAACAAGCUGAUAAGAACAAAUUACAUGGUAGUAAAAUAUUUUAGAAUUUUACUGCGAUAUAGUUUAUAUAAGAGAGUACUGAAUUAUCCUAUCUAUCAAGCGAUUUCUAUCGAAAAAAUUUAAAAAAAAAUUCUGCCUAUGAGACAAAGUCUUUGUUUACUUUGAAUCAAAAGGCAAGUGAAAUUUGCAAAAGCAUUAUGUUGACUAGGGCUUUUUGGAGGUUUUCAUAUAAUUUCGUAAAAAAUAAAAAAUAUAAUACAGUUAGUAAAAACAUAUUUCUUUCAUAAAUGUGAUCAUAAGUUAAUUCUAUGCCUAGUGGAAUAGACUUUAAAUUUUAUUUCAGUCAACUGAAUAUCCACGCUGCUGACUGUUUAAAAAAAAAAGGAGAAGAAAAAUAUUAAAAAAAACUAUAUAUAUGCAAAAUAAUGAAUACACUUUUAUUUUCACUACUAAUUGCCACCAAUUAAGAUCAAUAUCACCAAAAUCUCCAAAUUAUUUACAUUAAUAAUGUGGUCUCAAUUUUCUCUUGCUUUUUUUCAUUUAUAAUAACCCAAUAAAUUGAGGUCCUUGCNCACAAAUAAAAAAAAAAAAAAAAAAAAAAAAAAAGGUUUCAUACACUUGUGAAAUAUUUCCAUCAAAAGUCCUUGUGAGUUGGUUACUCAUGUACUACAUAUACUACCAUUGACUUUGUUUAUAUUAAAGAGUACUAUAUAUGUCAAUAUAUAUACUACAAAUUACAAUAAAAGAACUUUGUUGAAACCGUAUAUGAAUAUCUUUUGGUGAUUCUUUAUCAUAAAUCCAUCCAAAAUAAUUUGUAGUAUUUACACAUUGUAAUUAAUGUAUCUAGCUACAAAAUCUUUAUAUGUUUAUAAAUAUGAAAGAUUUAUAUUUAUUUCAAAUAUUAUUGGCGUGCCAUAUUUGUACAAUUAAUUAAUGAUGUAUUGUACAUUAAUAAACCCUUCUUUUCAAUAAUAUAUAUAUAUAUAGUAAUGUAGAUGCAGUACUUUUUACAGUAAUGUUACUAACUUUUUGUUUUAGAUUAGAAAUGCCUGUAAGUUUUUAUCUUUUUAUAUGAUUUUUAAAACUUUUUUUUUCAAAAAAUACCUUUUGGUGCAUUUUCUACAAAAAUCUAAGAAUAUUUUGGCAGCAAUUUUAACAUUUAUUGUCUUUUUCUUUAAAUAAAAUAUUUCGAGAUUCUACUAAAAGAUGAUAAACACAUUUUCAGUCACAAAACUGUUUUUUGAGAUAUUUUUUAGAAAAAUAAAUUUCUAGUGAAAAAGAAUUUUCACCGGUUUGACUUUUUAGAAAAUAUCUUAGAAAUUAGUUUUCUGGCUGAAAAAAAAAAAAUUGUUUGUCCAGAUUCGAGAAAAAAUAGUUUUCUUAAAAAAUUUUUAGAAAAGUUUUAUUUCUUUUUCUUAUUUUUUAUAUGAAAAACGAAAGCUAUGGAAAAAAUGGUUUUUGUGAUUUUUUUUUUCAGACAAUAAUUUUUCACUAUUUUUUGGAGGAACCAAACAAACCCUAAAUAGACACAUUCUUUUAUCAUACAGUAUGAAUUCUUUUAAAUGUACUUCUUCUUUUUUUUUUUUAAAUCUCUCUCUUAAUUUUCAAACUAUUAUUAUACAUAAUACAAAAGAAUUAGGGGCAUGGUGAUGAGAUCGUGAUUAAUGGACGGCCAUAAAUGGUUGUUGGUUCAAUUAGGUAGUGGCUCACAUGAAGCAAGGGUUUAUUUGGUGGGCAGGUGAUGGGUGCAUGGGAGGUUUGACGAGUAAAUGUGCACUUCAAGCACCAAAUCACUAUUACCCAUUUGCGCUAUAAUUUAGGAUUCGAGCUUUCGACUUUGGGUUUACUUUAUAUAAGUUUCUGGGGGUGUUCGGUGGCCGAUUUUGAGGUAAGAGUUCGAACCUCAGAAUGUGCUAGACUUUGGAAUUGCAAGCACCAAAUCCCUAGUGUCGUAUAAUUUGGGAUUCGAGCUUUCGUUGGGUUUAGUUUAUAUGAGUUUCUGGAGGUGUUCGGUGGCCGAGUUUGAGGUCGGAGUUCGAACCUUAGUAUAUAUGUGCUAAGCUUUAGAAUUUCAAGCCCCAAAUCACGAGUACUCAUUUGUGCUAUAAUUUAAGAUUCGAGUCUUCGACUUUGGGUUUUCUUUAUAUAAGUUUUUCGGGGUGUUCAGUGGUUGAUUUUGACGUAGGAGUUCGAACCUCAUUAUGUGCUGAACUUUGAAAUUUCAAGCGCUAAAUCACUAGUACUCAUUUGUCCUGUACUUCGGAAUUCCAGCUUUCGUUGGGUUCAGUUUAUAUGAGCUUUUUGGAGUGUUCAGUGGCCGAUCUUGAGGUCGGAGUUCGAACCUCAGUACGUGCUAAACUUUAGAAUUUCAAGUGCCAAAUCACGAGUACUCAUUUGUGCUAUAAUUUGGGAUUCGAGUCUUUGACUUUGGGUUUACUUUAUAUUAAGUUUUUGGGACUGCUCAAUGAGCGACCUUGAGGCUGGAGUUCAAACCUCUGUGUGCGCCAAAAUUUGGAAUUUUAAGCGUCCAAAUCACUAGUACCCAUCUGUGUUAAGAUUUGGGAUAUUGAGUCUUUGACUUUGGGUUUGGUUUAUAUACGCUUUUGAAGAUGAUCCGUGACCAAUCUUGAGGUCAGAGUUUGAACCUCCGUGCAUGCUAAAAUUUGGAAUUUGAAGCGUCCAAAUCACUAGUACUCAUCUAUACUAUAAUUUGGGAUUUUGAGUCUUCGACUUUUGAAUUUGAUUUAUAAACAUUUUUGGGAGGCAGACGUUGAGAUCUGAAUUCGAACCUCAGAGUUUGAACCUCCGUGCGUGCUAACAUUUCGAAUUUCGAGCACCAAAUCACUAAUACUCGUCUCUGUUAAAUCUAGGAGUUCGUACCUCGGAGUUCGUACCUCCUACGUUGGGUUUAGUUUAUGCCACUCUUGAUGUCAGAGUUCGAGCCUUCGUAUCUACUAAAAUUUGAAAAUUUUGAGCCUCAAAAUUCAAACUUAUUUUACAUAGGUGGUUGGAAGUGUAUGGGGCCUAUGAGCAGAGUAAAAAGAAAAAAGAAAAUACUAAAUAUAAUUUAGCGUUAGGUGAGUUUUGGGAGUACCAUAUAUGUGUUUAUAUAUGCACGGUACCUGUCCUUUUUCGAUUGAGUCCUCACAACUUUUAAUUAUAAAUAUCAAAUAAUUUUACUCAAAAAAGAUAAAAAAUUUUAUUAAAUACAUUGGUAUGAUUUCAUCAAAUUUAACCCCCCCAAAAUUUCUUUUCUUUUCUUUUUUCUCUUCCCUUAGAGUUGCCGGUAACAGGAUCGCUCAACUAGUACCACCAACGUAGUGCUCCACCAAUCUCCCUGCGCACUAAUGCCUGCGAACAGCAGCGCGGUGCACCGUUUGAGCUAGGUGCAAUAUUAAAAAAUUAAUUAUUUUAAUAUAUGUUAUUAAAUAAUUAAAUCCUUUUUUUCAUUCCACUUUUACAUACCUCUUGGGGAGUUGAUAUCCUCAAAACCCUUUAUCUGGGGAAUCGAAAUUCAACAAUANNUAUAUAUAUAUAUAUAUAUUUAAAACCAUAGUAAAAAAUUUAAAUUGGCGAAUUAAACCUCAUUAAUAAGUCAAAAUCAUCACCAAAAUAUUUACAGUACAUAAUUCAAACUUUUUAGACCAAAAAAUAAUUUUUAAUAUAAAACAGUUUUUAAUGUAUCCCCUUCUAAGUUCUAAUUAAUUAAUUUGGGGACAACAUUAUGAUUUGCAGGAAUAAAACUGGGAGAACCUUAACAUAAUCAGAUGAAUAGUCCACAUCUAACUCCCGCCCCACAAUUAAAUAAUAAAUAAUAAAUAAAUACACACUUGAUUUAUUUUCAAAUUUUAUUUUAUUAUAAAUUUCCCAUUCAAAGUAUUUUAUAUUGUUAAAAUUAAGUCACAAAAGCACAAUUUAAUCGACUAAAUAGUGAUGUGUCGCUAGUGUGAAGGUUACGCGACAGUGUUGUGAUUAAUAACGUGACAAUUGAAACUUAUAAUAAAUUAAAUUUUAGGGUAAACUUUAAAUACCACUUAGGUGGUUUCGCACUUCUCACUUUAGUAUCCUAUUGUUUUCUCUGUUAAUGUUUCGUUAAAUUAUAUAAAAAAAAACUUCAGAUAUCCUGCCUAAGUUUAUCAAAUAUUUAUUUUAGUACUUUUUAAUUUUAACUUUGUCACUAAUUAAAUGAAAAGAAAUUAGUGCAGGAGACAAUAAAAAGAGAAAAAUAAAAUCACGAAGUACUAAAUCGAUACAUUUUAAAUUACAGGAUAUUAAAAUAAAAAAGUGCGAAAACACACGGGUGAAAUAUCUUGCGCUUCAUAGUUUGAGGAACAAGAAGUGUAAUUUAAUAUUUUAAUAUAAAUCAAUAAAUAAAUUUAAUUUAUUUAUCCAUGAAAAUGGUGGGCCCAUGCGAUGGUUAGGUGCACAUGGGGUCCUGGACUUUGUGGCCAAUCGAGCUAUCAACUGGUCUAUUUUUUUUUGGGUAUUUUGGAUGUAACCUAAUUUCUACAAAAUCAACCCCCACAUGCAUAUGAAUUGCAAAAUCUUAGGGGUGGAGUGUUUUAUGUGCAUGUAUAUUUAUUAUUAUAAUUGUGACACAAGGAGAUAUACUUAUGUGUUAUGUCCAAAUGCAUAUAAUCCUGCAUAAGACAAAAGGAGAUGCCAUGUGCAAGAGGAAUACAAUCAACAGGGCCCCCGUAAUGCUGCUUUCAGAAGCUCGGUGACGUGUUGGCAUUAAUAAUAAGGCAUAAUUCGUGUGUGACUCAGCUCAAAAGUAUUAAAACUUUUUCUGGACGUACUAUUUUCUAUAAGAUUGAUCUUUUAAGUUAAUGGUAUAUAAGUUUGAGAGAAGCUGGGUGACGUGUUGGCAUUAAUAAUAUGGCAUACUUCGUACGUGAUUAAGCUCAAAAGUAUUAAAACUCUUUCUGAACUAUUUUUUAUAAUAUCGAUCUUUCAGAUUAAUGGUAUAUAAGUUUGAGCUAGGCUUGUGUGCUUUUAAAAACAUCGGGGAUAUUCGUGCUAUCAAAUCAUUUUUGAUACUAAGGCUUCCGAAUCGAUGAUCAGCUCAGUAGGCUUGAUACAGAGUAUUUGAAAUAGUUAGAAAAUAAAUUUCGUAAUUUUUUUAUAUUAUUUCACGUAGUCAUUGAAAGGAGUCCAAAAUCAACAAUUUUAAUGGUUGUGGUGAGCCGUUUGCAAGUCUAAUAAUAUAAAAAUAUUCAAAUCGCAUAAAAUUUUAAUUAAAAUUUUUUUAUACUAUAUAAAACAAAGAUCAAUAUAUAUAUUUCAUCAAAAAUUUUAGUGUCAUAUGAUAACUUUUUUGUGAGAUUUUUAUUUUCAACUAUCGAUUUUAAACUCCUUCGUUCAUUAAGUAAAUGAUAUCAAGAACUGAUAAAAUUUAUUUUCUAGAUGUUUCAAGGAGACUCUCGUGCUUCUAAAAAUACACGAGCCAAACUUUGUAACUCUUUUCAAUUUUUAUUUUAUGGUAUAAAUCAUAUUAGUAUUAUGUUUUUUUAAAAAUUUUUGCAUGUGACAUAAUUCAACUUAUCGUCAAUAUUUAACAACAUAUAUUUCCCUAUUAAUAAUAUAUAAGAGCAAUAUUUUGAAAAAUGCACAGCAUAUGUUUCCGCAAAAGCAAUGGAAAUAGAGAAUAGAUUACACAAGAUCUUCCAAUGAUGGGACGUGGUGUGAUAAUUAUUCUUUCCACUAGAUUAUAGAAAAUCUCCAAAAGGGUACGAAUAUUCUUGGACUUUUACCCAUUAUUUGUUGAGUUAUUGUUUAUAUUAUCUUGUAAUUUAAUAAUUGGCUCAAGUUCAAUGAAGCGUAGACAAAGUGAUUAGUAAAAUCUUUGUCCUUGUAAUAUAUUUAAUUCUCCUCGAAAAGAUAAAACUAUUGAUCUUUUGUUUAUUGUUAAUUUAAUUUCCAAAAACCAAUAUAUACCAUUUUGUUGAGUUCCUUGUAUUGGCACCAAAGCACGGUUUUGGUUGACAAAUAAAAAAUUAGAUAAUUUUGAUAUAAAAACUCUAAUUUAAUACUUUUAUUCUGCUUUAGAACAAACAAACAUGUUUAAACAUUAUUAAUUAGAGAUGUUAAUGGUUUUGACUUAUGACUGAUUUCAAAACUCCGGACCCGAAAGAAAUUACUUCGAUCUUUACCAUAUUUCGAAACAUAUCAUACGUACACAAAUUAAAAUUUAAAGCAAAUUCAAUUUUCUUAUAUUACAUAAUAGAAAACCAGUUUGGGUUUGAAUUCUGGUUCGGAUUGAGUGCAAACAAAAAUAUAUCAUACCCGAAUCCGAACCCGAACGUGAUGGGUUUUCGUUAUCUAUAUCCAUAAUUGAAAUAAUAUUUGUUUAGAAUUGAUAACUCAUUGUGUUCAGAUUCAAGUUUGGAUAAAAUUUCACGCAUCUGUUUCCGCUUAUUCAUCAUUCACAAAAUAACACUGCACAAAAAGAAGAAAAAUAAUUCAGGUGGCCCCAAUUUCAUGCAAGUGAUUAUGGACAUGCAAACCGUCGACGUCCCAAAGUUGAAGUCAUUAACUCUAUAAUAAAUUGGUUGAAAAAGAGGCCAACAAAUUAGGCAAUGUGUUACAUCAAAAGAUUACCACUUUUUGAAGCUUUGGUACUUAAUUUUGAUCUUUUCCCUUUUUCCCCCUCACCUUUUUCCUUUUUCUUUUUCUUUUUCACUUUAGUUAUUGUAAGUCAAUGUGAUGAAAGAUCAAGAAUUAGGUUAGAAAAGUAUUAGUGAUUCUGCGUUCUUUGUCUCCUUUUUUUUUCGCUCAAAAUUGACUGGCACAGUAUAUUAAAAGUUGAACUCAGUACCUCUCAGAGAGCGAAUGAGACCAUCAAGAUAACUUAUUUAGUGGUCUCUCAUAUUUGCUGUACUAACUUGUAGUGUUAGUGCUGAAGAAUUAUUGCACGUGUCUGAUUCCUGAAAAAAGCAUGGAAUACUGUUUUCGAAAAAAAAAUUAUGAAAAAUAUAUACUAUUUUUUCACCGUUUUUAUUUUCAGGAUAAAAAAUUUGAAAACAAAUAUACUACGUUUUCUAAAUCUAGGAAAAAUUUUUUUUUCUAAAAAAACUAUUUUUCCCUAGGAACCAGGUGGAUGAAAACUGCUUUCCGGACAGAAAACUGUUUUCCAGAAUAUUUUUCCAGAAGCCAAACACCCACUAAAGGAUAUCAUUUUAACGCAUUAAAUGUGUUUGAAAUUCUUAAUUAGUAAAACAAACAAUUUUUGCCAAAAUUACUGAUCUUCUCAUUGAUCUUUGGCAUAAUUGUGCUCAUUACAUGUUCUUGCACUCUAGAUAUGUGACACCUUAUUUGGUUAUAAAUAUGUUUUGCUGUGCCAAAAGAGACCAAUCUUAGACAUAUAAAAUUAAAUUGGAUGUAGCAUUGCUCUUUUCCAAAUAGUGUGCAACUAACUUAGGCAUCAUACAUGUAAAAAGAAACUUAAUUUGAAGUUUUUAUGAAGAGUAAUAUCAUUAUAUAUUUUAUAUACAAAAUCCCUAUGUUUUCACCAAUCCACAUAUAUAUAAGCCUAUUUUUCCAUUACAUUUUCUUGAUCUCUCUUCAACUUCUUGCAACUUACGUUAUCAAAUUUAAUUCUUGUUGCAAUAAAACCAAAAGGAAUUACAAAGGGAUCGAGCUCAUGACUAGGAAGAACAUAAAACAUUAUAUGCAGUUCAAAUUAAAAGGAAAAAAGUGGCCUAGCCCUUGAAAUUUAUUGUCAAAAUGCCCAAGCACACUUGGAUGCAACAUUUUUAAUAUGCAUGGGCCAUCUAAAAAUCCAUUCAAUCAAGAGAACACCUCACCCGCAAGGCAUGUGGAUUCUAUCCAUCAACCCUAUGUGUUGGUUAGGAGAAAAUUAUUCCCUCGACUUCGUCCGUCACGUCAGCUGUGAACCGCCCAGCUAUCUGCCAUUCAUCGCACCGCUCUUCAUAAGUCGCAACCGUUCGAUGACUGAUGUGGCGGACCAGGUCCGGGUGAUAACUUCGCGUCGGUUAGAGUCUAAGGACACAUGCAAUGCCCCCUUUGAAAGGGCCACUCAGUUCAAAAUGGUCCCUCCUGAGCAGGGUUCUGGAGUUGGAGCUAUUCAAAUGAGUGGUUCUGAUCCCUUGCUUUCAAUGAACAUUGGCUAGAGGACGGGGCAAGUGCAAAACGUAGGCAAAUGUUGCCUCCAUUGCUAGGGUUUUUGUGUCCAAACACCCAUGUGGUGGUGGGGCUAUCCAUGACAUUGGCUACAAAUAGUUGGGUGGAGAGGCCCAUCCACAUUAGUAUUUGAUUUGAUCACUCUCACUUGGAGAGAUCGUCUAUGCGUGGUGCGUUUUUGAGAGAGACAGAGAGAAAGGCAGCAAACUAUUUGCUUCGUUUAUUUUUUUAGAAAUGAGCCGAGCAGCCCGAAAUAUGAAGCAAAUAAACUUUGGAUUUGAAAUCUCGAAUACCGAUCAUCAAGUUCUUAGCCAACUGCGAUAGAUAGUUUGCCUCUCUAGCUCUCUCUACUAUUACUAAUGGACCGGCCAUGUGAUCUCUAUGUAGAAUGUAUGGUACACACCUUAAUUUUCUUAGGUUCUUGGAAAGGUGCUUCUCACCUCCCAUUAAUUGUGAGGAGGCUUCAAAGAAGCAUGAGCACGACAAAAAGGGGGGAGGAGGGAAAAGAAAUUGGAAAGUUAGAUAGGGACAGCAAUGAGGGUCACCUACUUGGUUUGCCCCAAUGAAGAGCAAAUUGUUUUGUGCCAUUGAUUCAUAUCAUGUGUUUGUUGGCUAUUUAUUAUUAACUAAAAGAGGACCAAUUUUUUGGCCUGCGAUAAUAUGCCCAAAAGACUAAAGGUUGAGUUGGGUAAGUCUAAUAAGUUAAGUGCGGCUGCAGUCCACAAUAGACCUAACGGCAAGAGACCCGACCUAGCAUCCAGAUGGUUGAGUUUGGUUAAAGCCCGUGAGGGCUAGCGCGGCUGAACUCUUAAGUGCGAUAAGUUCGCCCUUCUUAUCAGCACGUAUUUUUUGGAUGGUUGGUUUGCGCUUACGAUCCACAGUAUUUUCGUAACAAUCUUAUGCUUAUUUGUAUAAUUUGAAAUAGCCUAGAUAAAUUUUGUGAUCUACUAUUAAUGAUAUCAGACAUUAUUUCUAAAUAGUUUAAAUAGUUUAGAUCAUGUUCAACGAUAUCGAUCAUCGAUGGAAGCUCGAUUAUCAAAAAAAUUUGAUAGUAAUCCGAGUCGUUUAUUAUAUAUUUCAAAUGCUUCAGAUCAAAUCUAACGGAUUCAAUCGUCGAUUUGGAAGUGCUGGCAUCGAAAAUGACUUGAUAACACUGACGUCAUUGUACUUCUAAAAGUACACAUGUUUAGCUCUCUGGCUGGGGUGCUUUUACAAGCACCAAGGUAUUGGUGCUAUAUAAUUUUUGGAGGCUUCAUCGAAAACAACAAAUCGGUAAUAAUACAGUUCGUUUGUUAUCAAUAGUAUUUUAGUCCAACUACAUACAUAUAUACAUAUAUAUCACUAUAUUCUUUGAAGUCGUUAAAAUAGCAAACCGAAAUUUUUAAUCUGCAGCAUAACUGGGCUCGACGAUAUCUGUAAUUGUUAGAAUAGUUCCAGGAAGAGUGAUGCAACAAGUACAUAAAAUGAGUUAAACAUAACCAUAAACAUUUUACUGUCUAAACUUUUUUGUGCAAAGUUCACAUAAGCUAAUUAAAAACAUACAUCAAUUAUCAAAUUUGAACAAUAUAAAGUCAAGGAUCCAAAUAAGUUGAUUCGGUUCGAUUUUACAUAUAAUUCCGUUCGGUUCGACUCUAAAAGUAAAAAACCAAAAGAACUGAAUAAAUCGAAUAGAUCAAAAUUUUAAUAACUCAAUAAGUAUUAAUCUUUAAUUAUAAAAAAAAAAGAAAGAACUUUAAAUACUAUCUAUGUGGUUUCGCACUUUUUCACUUUAGUAUCCUAUGGUUUAAAGUGUAUCAAUUUAGAAUCCUAUGAUUUUAUUUUUCUCUUUUUAUUAUUCAUUACACUAAUUAUUUUUCGUUAAACCAGUGACAAAGUUAAAACUAAAGCGUAUUAAAAUAAAUAUUCGAUAAAUCUAGAUUGGGUAUCUGAAGUUUUUUAUAUACAAUUUAACAAAAUAUUAACAGAGGAGCUGACAAAAGAGAAAAAUGAAACCACAUGGUACUAACUUGAUACACUUUAAACCACAGGAUACUAAAGUGAGAAACGACGAAACCGCAGGGAUGGUAUUUGAAGUUUACCCAAAAAAAUAUGUACUAAUUUUACAUAAUAAUUAAAUAAUUAGAGAUAUUAAUUAUUCUUAUCUUAGAUUAAUAAUUUUCAACAUAAAAUUAGUUAUGAAUAUAUCUUAUUUUUAGUAGGCUAAAAAGAUUUAAACUAAAUGAAGAUAAUUUACUUAAUUAAAUCAAAUAAAUCGAAUCUAACCUUCGGUUCAGUUUGUGCCUCUAAUUCGGUUCAGUCCGAUAUCUUAAAAAACUGUAAAAAUUAAACCGAACCGAACCGAACCGAACCGACCGAUGCUCACCCCUAAGACUAGUGCCAAUCAAUUCACUGAGCUCAUGAAGCUCAUUACACUCAUCUCCUUUUAAGUUCCAAAAACAACAAAUUCUCUAACUACAAUAAAUUUCUUUGAUAUCAUUAUGACAAUGAAAGGGCAAUGAAACUAAUCCCGGACAAAGUGAUGUGGUUCAUUCCCCUCCUCACCUUUUGCCUCUGCAACAAAAUAGUGUUCAAAGUGGGUACAACCCCGUGCGUAAGAUUCGCUACGCACCGGAUUGAUUUUGACGGACUUUAUUAUAAAAUAAUUCUUUAAAAUUUAUAAUUUACGAAAUAAUUCUGCCAAAUUUAUAUUUAGCAAAUUAAUCCUCUUUUCGUCGUGUAGCAACCACGUGGGAUUAUUUUUCGAAAAGCGGUGAAUCGUUUACCGUGUUUUUCCAUGUCUUUUAAAGGCGGUGAAUCGUUACUUGCAUUGUCCAUUUUUUUUAAAAUGCGGUGAAUCAUUCACCGUUGUCUUCUAUUUCUUAGGCUGUUAAAAUUAUAUGAAAUUAUAUGGAUAAAUUAUUAGAAUUUUCAGGCUGUUAAAAUUAUAUGUGAUUUGUUAAAAUUUUUAUGUGAUUGUUAGUAUUAUAUAUGAGAUAUAGAAAGAAACAAUAAAUAAGUGAAAGGUGGUGAAUGAUUCAGCAUCUUUGUGAAAAAUUAAGAAGGCGAUGAAUAAUUCACCGUCUUCAAAAAAAAUCUUCACCCUGGCGCCUACAUACCAAAAGGAAGGUUAGGAUUAUUUUGCAAAUUAUCAAAUUUUAGAGAAUUGUUUUGUAAAAAAAAUCUGAUUCUGAUGCUGAAUUUUAGUAGAAUUAAUCUGCACCGUCUAUAUCGAAUCGUACAGAUUAAUCAUACUAAAAUUCACCAGCUGAACAAACAGAGUUGUAUGAAAUUUAAUAAAAUCUUGCGUGUAUAUUACAAAAGACUCUUUUCUCUCUCUCUCUCUCUCUCUCUCUUAUUUUUCUAAUUAAAUAUAUAAUUGCUGUGCCAAAAAGUACAAUAUAAAAUCUAUCACUUCAUUGAGAGGGAUGUAUCAAGCUUAGAGUCCAACAUCACAUUUAAACACAGGUACUGUGUAGGCUAGGGUGUAUUUGAGCUGUCUUAUUUAACAUGAAAACUCCUUAAAAAGAGCCAUAAAAUAAAAUAUAGGUUAAAUUACAUAAAACUCUCUGUAACUAUUUCACUUUUUAUUUUUUCUUUCGGAGUUUCAAAACUUUAUAUUUUGUCUCUUUAAAAUUGUAAAAAAUAUUUUCAGAGGGUUACCAUAUUAAUAGAGAGGGCAAAAUGAUCAAAUUAUUAUUAUUUUUAUAUAAGAAAAAAAUAAUUUUUAAUAUAUUUUAUUAUUUUAGAGAAUAUUUUCGGUAUAAAUUAUAAAAAAAAAAAGAUAGAAUAGUGAUAGAAUCCUAAGGGAGGAGGCUAAAUGAAAUAACUUGAAAUGUUAAGGUGUAAAAAUGUAGAUUUUUUGAAAAUUUAAGAGAAAAGGUACAAAAAAAAAGAUACUUAUCAAAAAUUUACAAGCAAUAUAUAUAUAUAUAUAUAUAUAUAUAUAUAAUUGAGCUCCUAUGCUUUUAAAAGUACCAAGCACUUGAUACUUGGUACAGCUGGAAUACUAUCGAUAGUAUAAAGUGUUUGGUGCGAGUUUUCCGCCGUUAGAUUUAACCCUUUGAUUAUUUUCAUCCGUUAGAUUAUAUUAUUUAACCAAUAACUCACUUAACCCUAGGGGGACUCACAUUAUUCUAACUGUAUAUUUUCUCAUUCAUAAAUCGAAAACCUAAUAACACUAAUAAUUUGAUGCUAUUAAUAGUAUUCCAGCCUAGUUCUAUAUAUAUAUAGAGUUGGACUGGGCUACUAUUAGUAGCAAAAUUUCAUUAUUGCUAUCAGUUUUUUAGCCUUUGGAUCAACUCUUUUCAUCAUUUCUAACCAUUGGAUUAAAUACUAUAACCCAGUAGGGACCACUCAACCCUAGGGGGACCACUCAACUCUAACUGACUAAUAUCAACCUAACCUUACAAUUUUUUAUCCAAGGGUUAAAAACUUGAUAGCAAAAAAAGUGUUUUACUAGUAAUAGUAUUCCAGCUUAAUUAUAUAUAUAUAUAUAUUAUAACAUAUUGAUUUCUGUUUGUUAUAGAUAUAAUGACAAAUUUCACUUACAAAGUGAUUUUUCUUAUUUCCAAAAAAUAAACUUAUAUACAUAAUGAAUACGCUACUAGUAUCUAUUAUAAACUUAAUUUCGAUGUGGAGACAGGGUCUUAAUGAAUGUACAAAUCAUGUGACCCUGUGUGUGCUUCAUGUCUAGCUAACACAGCACUACUAUUUUGUGGUUCUCAUAUGCUGUGCAAUGAAUUGUUCCUACUUUUUUAAAAAAAAUACUCUUUUCAUUCUUAAUGAGAAUGAAUUAAAUCUUGGUCAAAUAAAGAGGCUUAUUGUGCAUAUUGUAGCAAAAUUCACAUGGGCCUGCAGUGUGUACAGCUACAACAAUAACAUCGUGACAAUGGCAAUAAUAAUAUUAAGUUUAUAUAAUUAAUGCUACUGCUCUGUUCAUUAAGCUAUGAAUUAAUGCAUGAGGGUUUAUUUAUUGUUACUUUGGUGGCUACAUGGGGAAAAGAGAAAAGUAAUUAAAGAACAAAAAGUAUUCAAACAAUCUCUAUGCCCCUUCCUUUUUCAUUUUUUUCUUAAAAACGAACUCUGCUAAAAUUAUAAAGUAAUUGAGUUUCAAACUUAAAAUAUCAUAUACCAGCCAUUAAGUUCUUACUCAAUUUAUAUGGUUGGUGUGUAUAUAUAUAUAUUCGAAAUUGGAGACAUGAUUUUGGUGUGUAUAAUGAAAAAUCUAAGAUGUUUGGGGCUCGUAUUGCUUUAUCGGGAAAUUAGCUUUAUAUGGAUAUUGUGAGAUAGGUUCGAUCGAGAGAUCAAAUUGGCGGUUUGACUUGACUCAAGAUGAAUUUUUCGGCGAGCUUUUAGACAACUAAGCAAAAGAACAACUACUUAACUAGCUAUUACUUUUCUAGCCACCAUUUUACGACAUAAGAAGAGCAAAGUUGAUCGACAGUAGAGAUAUUUUGACGGCUUCAACCAUCAUAUUAUAGUCUUAGAAAGAGAAGCUCUGAAACACAUUCGUGCUAUUCCAAACCUUCUACAGCAUCACUGAAACUCCACCAUUUUACAGUACUAAUAAAUGAGGCCUAAAUACACCGCUCGUAGACAACUUCGAUGGAGAAUGGAGGCCCACUUACUUAUAAGGCCUUGUAUAGUUGCGCUCGCCUUUUUUUUUACUUGAUCAUGCAAAAUUUGAAUAUAUAAAAACUACAUAACCAAAACCAAAUUGGGCUUGCAUUUUAGGGCCUCAUAUGGGCCUAGUAACCAAAAUUUGGGCCAAAAGCCGACCCACAACGAAGCCCAUUAUGAUGGGCUUAACUAACCAAACAUUUUUUUAUGUGGUAGAUGAACCAACGAAGUAGUUGCUGCUAACACUAUUUCUGAGUCAUUUCUCGCAUAAUUGAUUUUUCAGAAAAUGUGGUCUUAGUGCAGAUCCUAGUCCUAAGCUCCCAACAUCAAUUUUUCUUUUUUUUUAAUUUGAUUAGAAUGAACAAUUUUGCGCUAAGUAAUAAAGCAAAGUGACAGCUAAAGAUAGUCGCAAAAGAUCAUUAAGUUACAUAUAAAGGUGGUUGAACCAAAUAUAUUGUGAGAUCAUAUAGAAAAUCAAAAAUUUUGUGGUGAUAUGCAUUGUGUAAACACCCUAUACUUGGUUUUUUCACAGUAAAAAAUAAAUAAAUAAAAUGUGAGUUGCACAUGAGCUACAAGUCUUUUGAGAUCAAUGCCUGUCCCUUAGAGGAAGUUCAUGGUUUCUAAAGGGCUCAAACCAAUCCAUAACUCAAGCUCAUGGUUUGGUUUGAGUCCUUAAUAAAAGUUUAGAAUGACAUCUAAGCUUGGUUAACACUUUCGUCUAUUUUCAAACUCAAUUGCUUCCCUUUCAGCGCUAUGUCAGUCCAGUUUUAUUCGGUUCUUGUCCGUUUCUUCUUAAGGUCAUAUCUAAAUGUCGGAAUAACUUAUUCCGUAUAUAUAAAAAAGAAAAUCAAUAUGAUUGAAAGGAGCCCCGGCUACUAUACUCUUAUGAGUACGAUCAUCUUUAUACUCAUGAGUUGUUUUUUGUGAUAGAGCUUCCGAAUCGACGAUCCAUUCCGUUAAACAUUAUCUAGAGUAUUUAAAACUUCUAGAAAUCAAAUUUUAUAAUUUUUCGAUAUCAUUUGCCUUACGAUCAAAAGCUCACAAAAUUGACAAUUUUUAACGACCAGUGUGGAAUAUUUGCUAGUUUAACAAUGUAAAAGAAUCGGAAUAGAUUGAAUAUUUGAUAGAAAAUUCUAUUCACUACCUAAAUAAAGAUUAAUAACCCCGAUCUUAAAUUGAAGGAUCUGAUUAUCUAUUCUUAGGAGGUCGUUCGAUUUUGACCGUUCAUUUUAUACCCGCUUGAUGGGCUUUAUAAUGAUUUCAAAAAUUUACGAAAUUUAUUUUCUAAAAGUUUCAAAUAUUCUAGAUUAUAUUUAACAGUGUGGAUCGUCGAUUCGAAAACCCCAACAUCAAAAAUAACUUAUGAGUACAAAGGACUCUAUACUAAUAAAAGUAUAAUAGUCCUACUCGAUUGAAAGUAAGAAGUUUAAGUUUUACUUUUUUAAAAACCUUGUUAUUUAUAAUUUGAUAGGAUAGUAUAUUAAUAGGAUAGUAUAUUUCACCUAUAAGGUAUUUUUUCUUUUUCGAAAAACUAACUUAAAUGCCGAAUUGAUCACAAUCCUUAUUAAUCAAAUAUACAAAUUUCUCAAAAGAAUUAAGAAGAUAUAUCGAAAAACAUAUUCAUGCAUUCCGACGGAGCCUAGUUCUUACAUAACCACACUGAGCUUGUCUAGCAUGUCAAUAAGGCCUAGAACACCAUAAAAAGAAUAUUAGUACCGAUUAAAAACGAAAAUAAGUGUGAGACGUACCUCAGAUAGUUCUAUAUAUAAAUAUAAUAUAAUAUAAUAGAGCUACAUUUUUAACUUGGCUUAAGUAUUUUGGGUGAUAAUUAGGGUCAAGAGGUUAAGAGAGUUAAGCGUAUUAGGAGCAUAGUAGUCCUAGCUAUGAUGGAUAACUUCCUAGAAAGUUGGGGCGUCACAGUUGGUAUCAGAACCAAUUACCAGCCGGAAGUGUGAGAUGAGUCUCGGCUGAGUUAGGAAGACUAGCAAGAGGAGUCUCAAAUCGCCUGAUACUUGUGAGUCUGAGCCUGACGAGAACGUCAGGAUUUAAAGGAAGGGAGAUUGUGAGACCCCAGAUAAUUCUAUAUAUAAGAUAUAAUAGGGCUAAACUCUUAAUCCUACUCAAGCAUUUUGGGUAGUAGCUAGGUUUAAGAGAUUAAGAGAGUUAAGCGUGUUAGGGCGAAAGUAGUCUAAAAUUAGGGCGUCACAGUCAGUCUCUCCUGUGGUCCUUCUUGUGCAGAUUUUAAGAUAGCAAGCAUUACUGGCACAAUUAUGUGUUCUUGAAAUGUGUCGGAGCACCAUGCAUGAUACCUGAUCAACAAGCAUUUAUUGGAGAUUAGGAUCCAUCCCAUCGACUCGGUCCACCGCAUAAUAUUGCUCUUACUGGUUGCUGACGCUCGAUGUACAUAACAUAAAAGAUUUUAAUCCGUUAAACCGCACACAGAUAUAUAUGUUAUAUAUGAUUGCUCGCACAUUAGUGGCCUUAUGUUAAGAGUUUACACAUAAAUUCUCCCCGCAUCAGAUAAUCAUAAAAGUACUAGAGGAUAUAAAUCUAAUAGACAUAAAGCUUUUAGAUUGAAUGAGUUUUACUAGAUAUAUAGCAUCUUUGGACUCAAUGUGGGACUUGGGAGUCCCACACUGAACCACCGUGCAUGAGUGAGUAGUCCUUCGUCUUCACUCCUUUAAUGGAGCUACUGCCGACAUGCAUGUUCAAAUUGAAUGCGGAUGCUGAGAACCAAUUCAGAGGUACAAAAACAAUAACUUUUUUUAAAAAAAGUUAUUGUCCGGCGCAUCUAAUUCAGAUACAAUUUAUUUGAAUCUCAAAAUAGCAUUUAUGCUAUUCAACGGUAGUGAGAGUUGCGUCUAACCAUUUUUUUUUCUCUCAAUUCUAAGCCAACAUGUGGCACAUCUUCUUUACUGGAUGUUAAUAAGCUCGAUUAAGUUCUUAAUGAGCCCACCAGUUAGAUCUUAUAUCUUAUUAACCAUUAACAACCUCAAAGUUCUAAAUUGGAUCACGUAGUAUUCGUGUUGAUUAAUCUAGUCUAACAGAGCUGAUCGUCGAUUUAGAAGCCGCAUCAUUGAAAACAACUUGGUAAUGCGGAGGUCUCAAUACUACCGAUAGCAUACCAGUCUAGCUCUCUCUCUCUCUCUCUCUCUCUCUCUCUCUCUCUCUUUAUAUAUAUAGAGAGAGAGAGAGAGUUGAGUUGGAAUACUAUCGGUAGCAAACGGACUCCUUUGCCACCCAUUUGUUUUCGAUGAUGGAGCCUUCAAAUCGACGAUCUACACCGUUGAACAUGAUCUAUACCCCUUAAAGUAUCUAGAAACUAAAUUACAAAUCUUUUCAACAUCAUUUACCUAAUAAUCAACGGGUUUCAAAUUUUAUAAUUUUAGUGGUAAAUAUAAGGCGUUUUCUCAUUUAACGGUAUAAACUUAUCCAAAUCAAUUGAAUUUUGGUUAGAAAAUUCUUUAAACUAUUUAGAACAAGAUCUAUACUAUCGAUCUUAAUUAUAAAAUUUCUAUCCUCUCUUUUUAGAGGAUAUUUAUUUUCAGCCGUUCAUUUUUACGCCCACUUGAUGGAUAAGAGAACAAUAUAGAAAAAGUAUGAAAUUUGAAUUCUAGAUACUUCAAAUGGUAUAGAUUAUUUUCAACGGUGCCGAUCGUCGAUUUGGAGGUUCCAUCAUCGAAAACAAAUGGGUGGAAACGGAGCCUGUUUGCUACCGAUAGUAUUGCAGCUCAACUCUCUCUCUCUCUCUCUCUCUCUCUAUAUAUAUAUAUAUAUAUAUAUAUGCUACUAUACUAUCGAUAGUACCAAGUGAUUAGUGCUAUCGACUUUUCAGUCGUUGGAUGAAAUGAUGUGCAGUUAAGAUGAUUGCGAUCCCUUAGGGUCGACUUUUCAGUCGUUGGAUGAAAUGAUGUGCGGUUAAGAUGAUUGCGAUCCCUUAGGGUUGAGUGGGUGAUUAGUUGAAUAGUAUAAUCUAACGGAUGAAAAUGAUCAAAGGAUAGAUGUAAUGGCAGAAAAAUCGAUAGUACUAAGAGUUUGGUACUAUCGAUAGUAUAGCAGUAGUACUCUAUAUAUUAUGAUUAAAUGGUAGAUUUAACGAUAGAAAAUUCGAUAGUGCCGCUUUUAAUACUAUCGAAUUUUUUACCAUUAUAUCUACCAUUUAAUCAUUUUUAUCAAUUAAAUUAUACUAUUCAAUCAACUGCUCACUCUUUUGGAUGCAAUUUACGAGAAGCUAUAAAUGGGGGGAAGUGAGGUGGAAGUAGGCUUAUCCUACACUCCUGGCCCAUGCUCAUUUAUGGUCGCAAUAAAUUUUGUAGCAGAUUGUCAGAUUAAUCAGUCUCCUACGUACUAUUCUCUGCAUUUUAUUUAACUCAGGUGAGACCAUACAUCAAUCUAGUAAGAAAUAAUUCUGAGACAAUAAAAAUACAAUAAACAAUCUAACUCGAUACCUCUAGAUCAAUCUAGUAAAAAAAAAUUCCGAAGCAAUAGAACUACAGCAAAUAUUCAAACUGGAAACCUCUUGAAACAGGAGGAACUAACAACUGCUGCCUAUGUUACCAUAUUAAUUGCUCAAGAAAUUGAUCUGAUAUAAAAAUAAUUCAGAAUUAGUUUUAACCGAAGUGGUUGAUAAGAACGUAAAUAUGAAUAGUUUUACGUCAAAUAAUGAUUCAAAUGCACUAGGAGAUCCAAAUUUAAUAAAAUUUAAUGUCAGGACUUAGAAAUUUUUUUUAAGAUUUGUCUUUGUAAUCACUCAAAUUUCAAACCAGAUAUCUAUUGAAGAUUUUGCCUUGAUCUUCUAAAAGCAUCUCUGUGAAUUUCGGAAAGCUCGUAGCCUUUCUUUUUCGCUUGUAUUUUCAUGCCGCUUGACAUCUUUCUGUUUCCUUUAUGAGCGGUGAUUGAUCUUUAAAUAAAUGUGGCUCCACCCCCUCUCAAUUCAAAAUCUUGAUUUGUAAUCCUCUACUUUUUUCUUUUUUUGAGAGAGAGAGACAGGUGGCACGCUACCUCCGCUUCAUUUAUUUCAUUUAGAAAUAAACUUAGCUAGAAAUGUAAAUCAAUUAGAAUUCGAACUUGGGACCUCGAGUACCAAUCAUCAAGCCCUUACCACUUGCGCUAGGAACGGUCGGUGUAAUCCUCUACUUCAAAGUAAUAAAAGAACUUUUUUUUCUCUCUCUCUCUCUUGUUCUUAUUUAAGAACGAAUAGAUCCUAACUUAGCAAGUAUAGAGAUAAGUUUGCUCACUUUACGAAAAAAGGCGAGCAUCGCACGGACUGAACAAGCGAUUUAGCUUAAGUCCAUGACAUUAAACUCUAUAUUGAAUGGUAUUAGAGUUGGUGGUGUGGUCCGAUCUGAGUUAACCAGGUUCAAAUUGAACAUGUUUUUGAGCUAACAUUUUAGGCAACACACCUGUCACAUUUUUGCUCUUCAAUUAGUAGUUAAACGCAUUAAUAUUUUAGGUAACACACACUUCUCAGUUCUCACUUAGCUCUUCCAUAAAUUGGUGGUAGCUACACUCACUUAUUGCUCUUCCAACCUGUUCCUCUCCAGUAAUAUUCAUUCGCUCUUUUGCUACGUUUCCCUGUAGAUCCAUGUGACCAUGUCACUCAAUACUUGGUCCCAAUUCGACUACGUACUCCAAAACUGUACCUAACGCAGUCGGCUAAAAAUUUUAAUGAUCGGUAUCUGAGAUCUUAAGUUAAAAUUCUAAUUGUUUUAUGUUUCUAGCUCAGUUCGUUCUUAAAAAUGAACGAAAUUGAUAGGUUACUACUGUCUUUCUUUCUCGUGAAAGAAAAUUCGUGCAUGAAAUAUCUGAUUUCUCAAAAAAAGUAUAGAAAAUUAUUUUCUCGACAUUAUAUAUUUUUUUUGUUCCUUGGAUACAAAGUUAAAAAAUGAAAUAAUAUCUAGAAUUUUUUUAAAAAAUAAUUUUUAAAAAAAUGAAAAAGAGGAAAAAUAUGGUUUCAUUCAAAAAAGUUAUAUUUUACAGUAUUUUUGGAAAAAUAAACACUCCGUAACUAUGCAUCAAUUAAUGCACUGCACACACCACGAAUCCCUUGUCCCCAACUCCCAACUACUUUUCGUCCUUCUUUAAAAAUAGGGUGUUCACAUAACAUUUAUUUUCACACACUAGAGAAUUUAGAAAUUUCAAAAAUGUUUUUUAAGUUUUUUUUUUAAAAUCUUUUAGUAACUUUAAAAUGAUAGGUAGAUUUAUCAUUAGAAAAGUAUUAGGUUCAAAUACUUAUCUCGAUCAAAUUUUUAUUAUUAUUAUUAUUUUAUAAUAUUAGAUGAGAGGAAAUUAAUGUAAAGUGUUUUAAUUAAUUCUAUGUCGUAAGCAUUUUGAACAAUGCAUUCGCAAAUUAAGCUGUAUAUUUCUACUCAGAUAGUUUAAAAAUGAUCUGAAUAAGUCUUAUGUUAGAGAUGAAUAAAUCAUAUCAUGUGUAAUAAAGAUAUAAAUAAUCAACGUGACGCGUAUUAUAUGACAUAGAUUUCGGCUAAGACAAAGAGUGCACUAAUUAAUUAACAAACUAUUACCUAAAUCAGAUCUCAAACUAACUUGGAUUGUAAAUGCGGAUCAGUUGUAGAAUCAAUUUUUUUACUAAUCGGAUCGCAAAUUUACAUUAGUUAGAAGAGUAGUAAGAGAAUUUAAAAAAAGUACGAAAAAUAAUAUAUAUAUAUAUAUAUAUAUAUAUAUAUAUAUAUAUAUAUAUAUAUAUAUAUAUAUAUAUAUGAGAGCCUUCGCGGAAUGAUUUGUUAGGAGUUGAGCUAGAAUACUAUCGGUAGUAAACGAGCCGUUUUAUUACCGAUUUGUUUUCGAUGAUAGAGCUUCAAAAUUGACGAUCGGCUCCGUUAAAUAUGAUCUAAACCAUUUAAACUACCUAGAAAUCAAAUUUCACGCACUUUUGAUAUUGUUCUUUUAUCCAUCAAGUGAAUAGAAAAAUAAAUGACUGAAAAUAAAUACUCUUUAAAAAAUGAUGAUAGGAGUCUUGUAAUUAAGAUCAAGAGUAUAGAUCUUGUUUUAAAUAGUUUAAAGAAUUUUCUAACAAAAAUUCAAUUAAUUUGGAUAUCUUUAUGCCGGUAAAUAAGAAAACGCCUCUUAUCGACCAUUAAAAUUACAAAUUUUGAAACCCUUUGAUCAUUAGACAAAUGAUGUCGAAAAGAUUUGAAAUUUAAUUUCUAAACAUUUCAAGUGGUAUAGAUCAUGUUCAACGGAGCCGAUCGUCAAUUUGAAAGCUCUAUCAUCGAAAAUAAAUCGGUCGUAAAACGGCUCGUUUACUACCGAUAGUAUUCUAGCUCAACUCGAUAUGUUAGUGUAUAUAUGCUUUUCACGUGAGGUGAAAUAUAAGGCGCUGUCACUUUUUUAGUUUUUUUUUUAAUUUUAAUUUUUGUAUAAUUUGAUAUAUGGAAUAAAUUUUUUCUCUUAUUAUUAUUAUUAUUAUUAUUAUUAUUGGUUAGGUUACUAAGCGCUCUGUCCAAGUGAAAGUGAUAACUUAUUUAAAAACUAUUUUAGAAGUAGAAAAAAAUUAUUUUUAAAUUUUUAUUUUUUAUUGUCGAAUAAAUAUUUUAGAUUUAACAAUUGCAAGUAAUCCACCACCCCCUUCUACGUUAUUUCAUGAAGAAAUUCCAUUGAAAAAAUGGCAAUGAUGCGAGACGAGGCCUAAAGAAGGGCAGAAGCAAAAAAAAAUAUAUAUAUAUAUAUAUAUUUUUCUAUUUUCUGACAUGAAUAUAUAUAUAUAAAAAGUAUAUAGUAACAAAUUCAUUGCAAUUGACACUGCAUAAUAUAUUUACAUAAAGACAUGUGUAAUGUAUUUCAACAAUCAAAGCAGAAGCUAACUCUGAUUCCAUAUUAUUUAUAAUACAAUUUUAAUAAAAAAUAAUAAUUCAGAAAUAAUUUUAGCCUUCGUUUGAAAUUACGAAGAGAUUGCAUGACUACAUACAAUAAAAAAGUAUGAAAAAAAAAUUAAAUAUUUAUUUUUAGGAAUAAUUGUCUAUAUACCCCUCAAAACUUCAGAAAUAUCUCGUUUAACUCUACUUUUUUUUUUCUUUCCAAUAUAUCCCUUAUAUAUUCCUCCGUUAUUCCAAAAUAUCCCCGCAGUUAUCACCUGUUAAGUUAACUUGGGUUAAACGUGGGUUAAAUAUCUACCACAGUUAAAAAAAAUUAAAAUACCACUUUUGUCCUUAACUUAAAGUCAAAUAAGAAAUGUUGGUGAAUAUGGUAGAAGUAUAUAUUUGAAAAGAUUAAAAAGUAAAAUACUUUUUAUGCCCCUAACUUAAGGACAAAUAAGGAAAGUCGGUGCUGGUAGAAGGAUAUAUUUAAAAGGGCAAAAUAGUAAUUUCAUAGAGAUAACAGAGUUCAUUAACCGAUCUUAACUCUAGGGAUAUAUUUGAAAUAGAUUGGAACGUAAAAAAUAUAUUUUCAAUAUUAGCCUUCUAAAAAAGAUAAAUCAGAAAGUCGAAAAGAUAUUUUUCGAGAUAUAAGUAAUUGCCCCUUAUUUUUAUUACAUAAUAUCAUAUUUUAUAUAUCAUAAUGAAUCAGGUAUAAUAUUUUUUUUUCUCUCAUUAAAAAGAAUAAAAAUAACACUUUUAUACACUUUCAUCUAAAUUUCGUUUUACCUGUUGGCAUUACAUUUUGCCUCCGUAACAAGCAAGAUAUUAAUUGCAUAUAUAACUCCCAACCCCAUCCAUCAAAGCUAAGCCUCUAUAUAAACCCCUCACACCAUCACUACGACACUCCACUGAGCAACACUACUACUACUACUAUUAUUACUACUACUACUACUACUACACAAACUAAACACUUCCUCCCUCUCUAUAAAAUGUCCGGCCGCUCUUCCGCACCGCUUACGGCCGCGGCGCUGCUGCUGGGCGUGCUGCUGCUGGCAGCGCCGGCGGCGGAGGCGCUGACGUGCGGGCAGGUGGUGUCGUUCAUCUCGCAGUGCCUGCAGUACGCGCGAGGCCCGGGCACCAGCCCGCCGCCCGCGGCCUGCUGCAGCGGCGUGAAAGGGCUGAACAACGCCGCGCAGUCGACGCCCGACCGGCAGACCGCCUGCAACUGCCUGAAGAAAGCCGCCGGAACGGUCACCGGGCUGAAGGCCGGCCUCGUCGCCGGCAUCCCCCAACAGUGCGGGGUCAACGUCCCCUACGCCAUCAGCACCUCCACCGACUGCUCUAAGUAAGAACACAUACAUGUCAUCCGCUUAUGAGUCAGUUUUGUACGCAUGACAAAUUUACUGUCUAAAGAAUGAACUUUUCAUUGAACGACGAGUACUAAUUAAAGAUGUGGUCGGUACCAUAGAAAAUGAACUCAAAAAUAUAUUUAACAAAAUUUAUAAAAAAAAUAUACUUAAAAAUUAGGUAUAAAUUUGUUGGCCACUCCAGAUUUUGAAAUUAUAUACCUGAGAUUUUAGUUAGAAAUUCUCAUACUUAGUUGCAGGGAUUGCAAUGUUACGGAGAUCUAUCUAACACUUUCUUUUUUGUUUUUUGUCUUUUUUUGCUAAUUUUAAUGCAGGGUGCGCUAAGUUUAAAGCAAGGGGGAGGUGGUCAUGAGUUAGGAGGAGUAACUAAGAAUAAUAAGGUGGAGAGAGCUCUUUUGGAACACCUUUGAUGCGUGUCACGUUGUGUUCAUGGGCUCCUAAAUUAUCCAACUUUUUUAUAUCCAUGCAUGUGUCAAUGUUUGUCUCUCUUUCCUCAAGCUAUACAUCCUUAGUGGGCUUGGGUUUUGUAGCACUUGUUUCCUGUUUAUGAUGUGAUCAAAGACAUGUUCUACUUAUUUGAAUGGUUUACAUCUAGUCUAUACUUUAUGUCUAUACUUUAUGAUUGUGUUUAUACUUUAUGAUUGUGUUUGGUUGAAAAUGUGAAUCGUAAUCAGCAUAAAAUUAAAAUGGACUAUAAUAAAAACAAAGCGGUACGUAGUAUAUAUAUGCUGCAAUACUAUCGAUAAGAUCCAAUUUGCUUAAUGGAAUCGAACUGUUGGAUAAAAGGAUGUGUGGUUAGGAUGAUAGUGAUCAAUUUUUUAGAGUUAAGUGCGUAGUUGGUUGGUUGAAUAGUAUAAUCUAACGAGUAAAAAUGAUCAAAGAAUAGAUCUAAUGGCAGAAGACUCGAUAAUACCAAAAGCUUGGUACCAUCGAUAGUGUAGUAGCCGGACUCCGGACUCUCUCUCUCUCUCUAUAUAUAUAUACAAAAAUCAUAAUUUUAAAGUGUAAUCAAUUUAAACAAAUGAAGCCUAUUUGAGAAGAAGCUUAAAUGGGCACAAAUCAUCAUGAACACUUCAUACUUGAUAUAUUGAAGGUUUGCUGAAAGUAUUUUCUUAAAAACAUAUAUAUGCCAUGUUUGAAUCACAAAACAGACAUCUUUUUUUUUAAAAAAAUAAACUUUCUUGAAAUUGUGAAGUAACUAGAUUUCGAAUUAUUAGGAACAAGCACACCGAGAUCUUUCUUUGUUUUUAAUUCUUGAAAAUAAACUCGAUUACUAACCAUAAAGCCUUCUAAUGGAACAAGCACACAUAGAUCUUUUUUGUUUUUAAGAGGCCCAUGAGCCAAGUUAAGUUGUGAACUUCAAAAACCUUGGGAUCGUAUAAUUCAUAGCAUCUAUUCGGUGCUCGAAUGCUCGAAUUAGGAUGUUAAUUAGGUUUUCCAUAUUUUCUGCUGCUAGUACAAGUGGUAGGAACAAAUGAUACCUGAUUACUCGAAUCCCAUUGGUUUUGGGUUUGAAUUCAUGAUGUUUUCUACUUUACCGUGUAUAGACUACAGAGCAUGCGCAUGCUUUAAAACUACCUCUUGAUUUUUUUUUUUUUUUUUUUUUAAGAAAUAGAUAGCACGCUACCCGCUUCGUUUAUUUCAUUUAGAAAUAAACUUAGCUGAAAAUGUGAAACAACUAGGAUUCGAAUUUGGGUCUUAGGUACCAACCACCCAGCCCUUUACCACUUGCUCUAAGGACGAUCGGUUGAAUUCAUGAUGCUGCCCUUCGAAUUUUGUUUUCUCUGUACCUUGCCGCAUACGAUUGUUUCCAAAGAACAACAAAACAUAACUUAUGAAACUUAUAUAAAAUAUAAUCCACUUUGAAAGGAAUAGAUAAUGUAUAUUUGUUAAGUUUGCUAUUUAAUCUUUUAAUUUAUAUGAUUUUAGCUAUUGGAUGGCUUUUUUUGUUAUUGUGUUUUGACGCUUUACUUAUUUUAGCGGAUCACUUGAUUAAUUUAAAUAUCUCAGUGAUUCACAUGACUACACGCUUGUUAAAGCAAGCCAAACUGUGAAUUCUAAGGCCAUGUUUGGUUGGGGAACAAGGGUGGGGAUAAGGGGUUAUCCCCCCCUUGUUCCCCAAACACUAUUUUUAAAGGUGGGAACUAGCUAUUCCCACCCUUAACGGGUUAUCCUAGGAUAACCCGUUAAGGGUGGGAAUAGCUAGUUUCCCACCCUUAGGUGGAAUAGGGUGGGAACAAGUUGUUCCACCCUUAUUUUUAAAAAAAUAAAAAUUAAAAAUUUUAAUUUUAAUUUUAGUUUUAAAAUUAUAAUUGGUAAUUCAAAAUUCAAGUUUAUAGUUUUAAAUUUUAAAUUUAAAUUUUAAAUUUUAAUUAAAUUUUAUAUUUUUUAAUAUAAAUUUGAUAUUUAUAUUUUAAAAUUUAAUUUGAUCUUAAAUUUUAAAUUUUAAAAUUAAAAUUUUAAUUUUUGAAUUUAAAAAAAAGUAUUUUUAGGAUCACCCUGCUUGUUCCACCCAUGAAGAGAGAGAGAGAGAGAGAGAGAGAAUUUAAUUUAUUAUAAAAUUUAAAUUAUAAAUUCAAAAAUUAAAAUUUAUAAUUUUAAAAUUACAAAAUUAAAAAUUUAAAUUUUAAAUUGUUUAAUUUAAAAUUUAAAAUUUUGAUAUUUAAAUUUUUUUUAUAUUUAGAAUUUGAUAUGUUAUUUUUUAAAUUAAAAUUUCAUCUUAAAUUUAAUGUUCAAACUUUAAAAAAUUAAUUUUUUAAAAUUAUAAAUUUGAGAUUUUAAAAUUUAAAAUUUUAAUUUUAAUUUUUAAAUUAAAAGUUUAUAUUUUAACUUUUAAAAUAUAAAUAUAAAAUAUAAAAGUUUAAAUUCUAAUAUAAAGAAAAAGAUAAUAUCAUUAUUUUUUAUUUUUAACUACCAACUUUAAUUCUUAUCCCAUCUUACCUAACCAAACGCUAUUUUUCUUAUUCCCAGCAAUAACUCAAUUUUCAUCCAAACACAAAAUUGAUCUAAUUCUCGCUUAUACCUCAAUUUAUACCUAUCCCUGGAAUACCCACUUUUUGCUUAUCCCCGAACCAAACGAUACCUAAAAGUUUUAGUUUUAGUAUCUCAUCUUCUAAAUUAUUUUUAUUUAAGUUAUUUGGUAGUUUCUCAAUUAUUAAUAUUUGGACGCACCCUUCAUUUUGAUGUGAACAUACGCAUGCAAUAGUAUAUUCUAAUCAAAUACGUUGGAAAAAAGAAUACCUCCAAAUAGUAAAGUUGAAAGAAAGAUGAUCAAAUUACUCAAAUUAAUAAAUCAAAAGGAAUUGAGCUAUAGAAACACCAACCUUUCAAUACUUCAAUUUAGUUUAUUCUAUAAUGGCAUCUCGUAAGUUAUGAUCUUCAUCUCAUAAACUUUUUAGAAAAUAAAUUUUAUAUUGUUUGAUAUUAUUUAUCUAGUGAUUAAGCGGUCUCAAAUACAUCUUUUAUAUGCUGAUGAAAUUUAUUGACUCUGAGACUAUUUGAAUAAAUAGUAAAUAAUGUCGAAAAAUUACGAAAUCUUAUCUUUAAAAGUUCGUAGCAUGUAAAUCAUGUUCAAUAGUGUUGAUCAUUAAUCCGGAAGCCUUAUCAUCGAAUACAACGUAAAAACACUAAGGAGUUGGUACUUAAACCAUUCUGGCCAAACUCAAUUAAUUAAAAAAUAAUAUCAAAAAUAAAAUAUUUAAAUACUCAGAUAGUGGAAUCAAAAUAUGUUAUAAUUCAUAAUAUAAUUUUAAGUUUUUUUUUUUUGAGAAAUAGAUAGCAUGCUAGCCGCUUCGUUUAUUUUAUUUAUUUAAAAAUAAACUUAGCUAGAAAUAUGAAUCAACUAGAAUUCGAACUAGAGACCUCGGGUACCAACCACCAAAUCCUUUGCCACUUGCUCUAGGGACAAUCGGUGUAAUUUUUAAAGUUUUAAAAAAGAGAAAUGCUACUUCUAUACAACAAUUAAAGUAGGAUUAAAUCUUACAUCCAUCCAUCCAUCCAAGAGCUUAGACACUUCUUUUAGACCUUUAAUAUUAAAAAAAUAAUAAUAAGUAUAAAAUUAUUGGCCUUUUGAUGAUAGAGUAUAAAAUCUACGCUUAUUUUUUCAAAAAAAAAGCCUUGAUAAUUAAGACAAAAGAAACACCUAUAAGAAAUUAAGAAGAUUAUAAGCCCACCAAUUUGACCCUUUAAAUACGGCACAGAAUAAUCCAAACCGUGUUGUAGCUGUUGCUGAUGCUCGAAGCUUAUAGCUACGCACGUAAAGGGCUCAUCAGCACGGUAUCCAUAUAUUAAAUGCAUCUUUGUAUCACGGACGUGACUAUAGACUUUGCAUUUCGUGUUCGACAGUCAUGUGCCCGUGUGUCAGACUCAUGUCCGACAUGAAUGCAACAUCGACGCAGGGCGCAUCCCACGAUCACGAUGGGUGCGAAUGUUGGGAAUCGGGUACUCGUCCCGAUAGCGAAUUUUGAGUAUUCAUAAUCCGCUCCGGUAUGAACUGCUGUGAAUUCGGUAUCGAUUGCUGGAAUUUCGCAACGGAAGCGUCGAAUCAAAUUUUUUACUAUAAACCCGUCUCUUCAGCAAAAGCUGAUACAAUCACAAAGAGAAAAAAAAAACAACCAAACAGAAAAUAUAUAUCUGAAUCCUAAUAUAUUUAGACGGGUUAAUUUCAUACAGGUCCCUGCAAACAUGGUGAAUAGCAGAUAUAUUCCUAUAAAAUUCGACUUUUAUAAGUUAUUCCUAUAAAAGUCUUAAUAUAUUCAGAUAUGUCCCUGCCGGUAAGAUUCGUUAGAGAAAACUAGUUAAUCACAAUUAAAUACUAAAGUAUGGUUAAUUAAUAAUGCGAAUUGACAAUUUUGUCAUUCUUCUUCUUCCUCUUCUUCUUCCUCUUCCUCUCUUGCUUCUUCUGCUUCAUCUUCUUCUUCAUCCUUUUCCUCUUCUUCCUCUCCUGCUUCUUGUUUUUUCUUUUCUUUUUCGUAUCCUCAUUUUCCUCCUCCUUUUCUCCUCCUCCUUCUUCUUCUUCAUCGCCGUCAUCGAUGAUCCGAUCGUCGUCGCCGUCGUGGUGCCUACGCCGGCUGUCAUCACGGGCGCCUCCGAAAGCAUCGGCCACGCCUUUGCCUUCCGCAUCUUCCUUGUCCUCGUUGGCUGCAACCCGAACAAGCUCCACAAGGUUGCCGUCGCCACCACUGCUGCCACCGUCUGCUCCCACAACCUGAAGAGGAAGAGGAAGAGGGCAAGGGCAAAAUUAUCAUUUUACAACUCUACUGCUAAAAAAUUAACAGUUCUCUAACGGAUCCUAACCAUAGGGACAUAUUUGAAAAUAUUAAGACUUUUGUAGGAAUAUGAUCUGAAAGUUGAAUUUUGCAGGAAUAUAUCUGCAAUUUACUAUAUUUGCGAGAAUCUAUAUGAAAUUAAUCCUAUUAGAAUUCCUAUUCCAAUAAAUAUUUAAAUUUUAAUUGAUUUAUCUCCAAAAGAUUUAAAUAUUUAUCCUAAUCUAGUUAGAUUCCUACUCUAAUUAAUAUUUAAAUUUUAAUUUAUCUCCAACAGAUUUAAAUAUUAAUUCUUAUCUAACUAGAAUUAAUCUAUAAAUAUAAUCAAAUCCUAACAACGACUACAAAAUCAAAUAGAAGUGUAAAGACAAUUAAGGGUCCAGCUAUGAAAAAAUUUUAGAAUGCAACGGGGAUAUUGGUGACGUGGCGUAACAAACCAAUCAAAAAUUUGCUUUUACAGACAUAUGUCUCAUCAUGAUUAUAAAAAAAAAUGUUUAUUGUACUUUUGUUUGAAAAGAAGAAAGAUGAUUGGCCAGUUAUUGAUGACGUGGUGUAAGUAUAAUAGUGUAGAAUUCCUCCCAUCUAGGAUGCUUCUCAGAAGUUGCUAUUUAUAGUUUUUAAAUUUUUAGAUUUAUAAUAAAAUUACUACCAAAUAGUAAAUCCAAAUAAUCCAAAAGCUAAAUAGUUAAAAAAUAUAACCAAAUGCAUUCCAACUCAAUACAGGAUAAUAAUAUUCCUAUCACUCAUAAGAUAACAAUAAUCCCCAACCAAAUUGGACCAAAAAAAGACUUUUGUGCAGUCAUUUUUAAAAACUAAAAAACAAAAAACAAAGACUUAUGUUGACUAUUUAAUUUCAACCACAUUAUCGUGUAGUUGGAAUUUUUGGUAUCAANCAAAAAAAAAAAAAAAGAAAAAAAAAAAGAAGCAAAGUUUUUUUUUUUCUAUGUCAUAUACACUUUGCAAUUUAUAUUCGUGAGUUUAAUCACUUCUAGCUUAAUUAUGUAUUACACACCACUUGUUAAAUUCAUGAUCUUCAAAUCUAUUUCGUUGGACACUCCAUUUUUUCGACUUUAAUGAGCUCCGGUAGUUGAAAUUGUUACCCAAAACAUUGACCAAAAAAUAGCAAAAUAUAUAUAUUUAAUUAUUAAUAUACACUGCUUCGAAUUAGCAUAUGUGACAAUAUUUAAUUUGUAAAGAAGUGUAAAUUAUGAGAAAAUUAAGUGAUCAAGCAAUUACAAUGCUACUUCAAUACCAAAAAGUGGGGUUAAAUCUUACAUCCAUGUACAUCCAGAAGCUUAGACACUUCUUUUAGACCUUUAAUAUUUUUUUUAAAAAAUUAAUAACUAUAAAAUUAUUGGCCUUUGGAUGAUAGAGUAUAAAAUCUAUGUUUUUGUUUGAAUGUACAACAGAAUUACUCUUUUAAAAUAGUUCACUUUGCCCCCUCGUAGUAUAGUGUAUUUUUACUUUACCAUUAGGUGGUUCAAAAAAUUAUAUUUCACUAUUUUGUGGUUUAGCAUGCUUUCACUUUACCGCCCCGUAAUUCAAAAAGAUUAUAUUUAAUUAUUCUAUAUUUUUAUUUUUAUUUUUUUUAAAAAAAAAGCUUUGAUAAUUAAGACAAAAGGAACACCUAUAAAAAAAGUUUUUUUUUUUUUUUGAGAGAUAGGUAGCACGCUACCCGCUUCGUUUAUUUCAUUUAGAAAUAAACUUAGCUGAAAAUGUGAAUCAAUUAGGAUUCGAACUUAGAUCUCGGGUACCAAGUACCAACCACUAAACCCUAUAAAAGUUGAGCAAUGCUCCUAUGCACCGAACAAAUCUCAGCCAUUAAAAUUCUUUAAAUGUACGGUAACGCUAGACCUAUUAAAAGAGGGUGACCGGCACUUGGGGGUAUAGGUACCGGUCACCACUUUAAUAAGGGCAAAUUUUUUUUUUUUAUUACAUGGAGUUUACAAUGAGGGUAUUUUGGUAAAUUGUCAUCCUCAUAACAUGCCAUUUUUGUAAAUUUAGAAUAUUCCACCUUCCUUCAUUCUUAUCCUCCAAUAUUCCAUCUUUGUAUUAUUACCUUUUCUAAAUUAAACCUCAUGUCUUUAAACCAUAGUUAGUUAAUUCGAAUAUGAUAAAAAUUCGAUACGGAUAAAAUACGAAUAAAAUUCGCAAUUUUAAUUUUUAAGUUCGUUGAAAAAUACGGUUUAAAAAUUAGAUUCGCCAAUAAUUCGCAUACGCGAUUUAUACGAAAAUUUUACGUUUAUCAUUUAAAAAUUCGGAAUAAAAAUUCGUUUAUUUAAUUAAAAUUUUUUUAGAUUUAUGCUAUUAUCAUGCAUAAAUAAUUAUAAUUCUUAUAAAAUAUAAAAAUAAAAUUGGAUAUAUAUAUAUAUAUAUAUAUAUAUAUAUACAUAUAUUAUAUAUACACACACACACAACACACAAACACAAAAAGGGGGAGCAGUCCACGAGGCUGAGUGCAGCCUCGUGGACCGCAAUAUUUUCCUACACGUAGGCCGCGAUUUCUUCUUUCUCGCCGCUCUUCUUUUCCUUUUUUGUUUUAGAAUCAUUUAGUUUAAAUAGUUAACAAAUUUUAUUUUUUUUAGCUAUAAUAUAAAUUAAAUCUAAAUUUAAAAUUUAAUUUUAAUCAAUAUUUUUAAACUUUAAUGUUGUUUUUACUAUCGAAUGAACAGUUUGAAUAUAAUUUUAAAAAUAAAAGAUUUUAAUUUAAAUAAAAAAUAAAAGUUAUGUUUAUAAAUACAGCAUAAUUUAUAAUUUAAAUUAAAUUAGUAUAUUUGAAAUUUCGUGUCAUUUUAAUAUAUCAAAUUAACAAUUUGAAUUGAAAUAUACUAUUCAUUUAAACAUAAAUUUUUUCAUUCUGAAAAUAAAAAUAAAAAUUAAAUUUGAAUUUAAUGUACACAUUUAUUAUAAAGUUUAACCUCAAAUUGAAUUUUAAAUUUAAUUUAUAAAGAUUUAUUACUUAUCAAAUUAGCACUAUCUAAUUUGAUAAGUAACAAAAUUAAACAAGGAAACAAAUAUUUGUAUAAGGUUGAUCAAAUUUGAUAAUUAGUUUGUAUUUUUUUUUCCAAAUUAUCCUUAUGAAUGGUAACCUAUUGAGUAGGUAACCACUAUGCAAAAGUCAAUCUCGCCCUUAAAAUAUGAACGAUUAGAUUUAUUUUAUCUGGUGUAUUGAAGCAUUCCUCAUAAAAGUUAAGAAGAUUAUAAGCCCACCAAUUUGACCCUUUAAAAACGGUAUAGAAUAAUCCAAACCGUGUUGCUUAUGCUCGAAGCUAGCUACGCAAGUGGAGGGCUCAUCGGCACGGUAUCCAUAUAUUAGAUGCAUCUUUGGAUCAUGGACAUGACUAUAACCUUGCGUUUCAGGUUCGACACUCAUGUGCCCGUGUUAGACGAUCAUGUCCAACAUGAAUGCAACAUCAACGCACGUCCACGGCGCAUCCCAUGAUCACGAUGGAUGCGACUACAAAUCAAAUAGAAAGGUCCAGCUAUGGUGCUUUCAGAAGUUGCUAUUUAUAGUUUUUAAAUUUUUUAAAUUUAUAAUAAAACUAUCAUCAAAUAGUAAAUCCUAAUAAUCCAAAAGCUAGAAAGUUAAAAAAUAAAGAAGAAGAUAUAACCAAAUGCAUUCCAACUCAAUACGGGAUAAUAAUAUCCCUCUCACUCAUAAGAUAACAAUAAUUAAUCCCCAACCAAAUUGGACCAAAAGAAGACUUUUGUGGAGUCAUUUUAAAAUAUAAAAUAAAAAACAAAAAACAAAUACUUAUGUUGACUGUUUCGAUCGACUAUGUUAUCGUGUAGUUGGAAUAUUUUGUAUCAAAAUUUUCCAUUGUCAUUUUCUCAAAAAAAAAAAAAAAGCAAAGUUUUUUUUUUCUAUGUCAUAUACACUUUGCAAUUUAAAUUCGUGAGUUUAAUCACUUCUAGCUUAAUUAUGUAUUACACACCACUUGUUAAAUUCAUGAUCUUCAAAUCAAAUCAUUUCGUUGGAUCACACUCCAUUUUUUCAGCUUUAAUGAGCUCAAACAUCGACCAAAAAAUACCAAAAUAAAUAGACAGGAUAUUUAAUUAUUAAUAUACACUGCUUCGAAUCGCACUAUUUAAAAGGAACCAUUUUUUUGUUAAAUUCGUGACUUUCAAAUAUAUUUGGUUGGAUACUUGAUUUUCUUUUUUUUUCAAUUUUGAUGAGCACAUUUCCAAAACAUCGAUGGAGACAACAAAAUAUUAAUUAGAAGGGAACGAAUCGAUUAGCUCUGAUACCGCGUGUUACUUAAAAAAUCGAUGUAAUAGAAAAUAAUUUGAACUUUGUCUUAAAAAAAAUAAUAUCUCAGCAUUUGAGAGAAAAAUAUAAAUAAUAUGAAUAUAUUAGAAAAUAUGUUGCAUUUUUUAAUCAUGAAUAAUGUUAUACUCAUAUAUAAAUUUUAUAACACUUUAGAAAUUAGCAUACAUGGCGAUAUUUAAUUGGUGGAGAAGUUUAAAUUAUGAGAAAAUUCAGUACAUCAAGCAAUUAUAAUUUCUCCUUUAUUUCCUCACUAACGUCUUCAACUUUUGGUCCCAAAAAUCACAUCAUGGUCCUUUGAUUAUUGUGCAAAUCUCACAUUAAUUUUUAAAUUUUAAUUUAUUAUGUUAAAAGAAUUAAUUAAUUUAUUAGAUUGUUUUUAUUUUACUACUGAAACAUUAAGUUUUUAAAUUUUUUAAAUUUAUAAUAAAACUAUCAUCAAAUAGUAAAUCCUAAUAAUCCAAAAGCUAGAAAGUUAAAAAAUAAAGAAGAAGAUAUAACCAAAUGCAUUCCAACUCAAUACGGGAUAAUAAUAUCCCUCUCACUCAUAAGAUAACAAUAAUUAAUCCCCAACCAAAUUGGACCAAAAGAAGACUUUUGUGGAGUCAUUUUAAAAUAUAAAAUAAAAAACAAAAAACAAAUACUUAUGUUGACUGUUUCGAUCGACUAUGUUAUCGUGUAGUUGGAAUAUUUUGUAUCAAAAUUUUCCAUUGUCAUUUUCUCAAAAAAAAAAAAAAAGCAAAGUUUUUUUUUUCUAUGUCAUAUACACUUUGCAAUUUAAAUUCGUGAGUUUAAUCACUUCUAGCUUAAUUAUGUAUUACACACCACUUGUUAAAUUCAUGAUCUUCAAAUCAAAUCAUUUCGUUGGAUCACACUCCAUUUUUUCAGCUUUAAUGAGCUCAAACAUCGACCAAAAAAUACCAAAAUAAAUAGACAGGAUAUUUAAUUAUUAAUAUACACUGCUUCGAAUCGCACUAUUUAAAAGGAACCAUUUUUUUGUUAAAUUCGUGACUUUCAAAUAUAUUUGGUUGGAUACUUGAUUUUCUUUUUUUUUCAAUUUUGAUGAGCACAUUUCCAAAACAUCGAUGGAGACAACAAAAUNAUAUCAAAAAAUCGCAAAAAUUAUUUUCUAGAAACUUCAAAUGCGUUAGAUCAAGUCUAACGGAGCCGAUCGUCGAUUCGAAAAUUCCAUCAUCGAAAACGGCUCAGGAGCACAGAGGCCUCCGUACUCCUGAGAGCACAGCAGCCCUACUCUAUAUAUAUAUAUAUAUAUAUAUAUAUAUAUAUAUAUAUAUAUAUAUAAUCAAUUAAUUAAUUUUUAUAGAUUUUAUUUACAACUUCAAACACCACCCAUGUGGAUUCAUAUUUUCUCACUUUAGUAUCAUAUGGUUUAGAGUGUAUCAAUUUAGUAUUUUGUGAUUUUAUUUUUCUCUUUUUACUAUUUAUUUCACUAAUAUUUUUAUUAAAUCAGUGAGAAAGUUAAAACUAAAUGAUGCAAAAGUGAAUAUUCGAUAAACUUAGAUAGAAUAUCUAAAAUUUUGUAUAUAAUUUAAUAAAAUAUUAUCAGAGAAACUGACGAAAAGAGAAAAAUAAAAUCACAAGAUACUAACUUGAGACAUUUUAAACCACAAAGUAUUAAAAUAAGAAAGUACGAAACCACUGAGAUCGUGUUUGAAGUUUACAUUAAAAUUUUUUAUUUUACUUUUUUGUUCCUAUGCGCAACGUAUUCUAUGGCCAACAUCCAAACACCACGACACCAAAAUAAUACUGGAGCAAAAAUUUGCGUGAAAAUUACCCAAAAUGUCCUUUUCUUUUUUUUAUAUAAACCUCGCCCACACCUCCGACGACGACGAUCACAUACAAAUCUCCUAACAUACCAAAAACAUUCGUUCGUUGAUACAACAAAUCAAACACAUAUGGCCCGGUCCUCGUUUGCUCGCAAUAUGUUGUUAUCUUUGUUAGUCGCAGUUGCUUAUUUCUCCGCGGUGGCGCCGCGCUGCGCGGAAGCCGAGGUGACGUGCCCGGAGGUUUACGGUGUGCUGAUGCAGUGCGUGCCGUACCUGCGGUCGGGGGGCACCCCGGCGCCGCAGUGCUGCAGCGGAAUCCAGCAGCUGCUGGCGGCAGCGAGCACGACGGCCGACCGCCGCACGGCGUGCCAGUGCCUCAAGACCGCCGCGGCGGGCCUCUCCGGGCUCAACCUCGGCUACGCCGUCGCACUCCCGGGCAAGUGCGGGGUCUCGUUCCCCUACAAGAUCACACCCAAUAUCGACUGCUCCACGUACGUAAAGUUACGGCCGUUAAAUAUAAUGUAAAAUUUGUUUGAACCGAAAUUUUUGAUUCGACUAUCUAAUUUUUAAAAAUUUUAAUUUUAAUGUCUAAUCUUUUAAUUUACUUGAUUUGAGUCCGUCAACAAUACUUUGGCUUUCAAAUUAAAACUAAUUAUCUUUUUCAAUGAACUUAUAGUUGUCAGAAUUGUAUGAGGCAUAUAAAUUAAAUUUGUGCAGAUAAAGGACAUAUUUAAAUUUGAAAUUUAAAUAUUAUUGGCGGACUCAAAUUAAAUAAAUUAAAUGAUUGAAUAGUAAAAUAAACUUAUAAUGGUUCGACAUCAGAGUGGGCCUGGCCAAGCACGGCACGAGCACUAUAACACUCGUGUCGGAUGGGCUCGGCCAGUUAAACUGGGCCGUGCUGGGCCUUGCUCUCACGCCCCGAUGGCCUGGCACAGCCCAGCACGACACGAGCCUGGACCGUGCCGAGCCUGAGGGGAUGUCCCGGCCCGACACGACACGGCACGGCUCGACCAAUGUGGUCAGUGCCUCCUAAGGCGGUCCCGAGCAGGGAGUUGGGUUCCCCCUGCACCACCCCAACUCCCAAUGCUUUGGGAGUUGGGUUUAGGAGAUGGGUCUAUUGGACCAAAAUGCCACUGUUGGGAAGAAUAUUUCGGUCCAAAAAAUUUAAUAAUUUAAAAUAAUUUAAAAUUUUAAUAUUUUUAUAAAUGUAUUUUAAAAUUUUAAAUUUUUUUACUUAUAUAUUAUUUUUUUAAAAAAAUAUUUUUUUAUUUUUAUUUUUAAAAAAUUUUAUAUAUUUUUAAAUAAAAUUAAAUAAAUGAAUUCCUUAUCAAUGACACACGUACCCUCUUAAUGUAUUGUGUAUUUUCUUUUGUGAAUUAAUCAUAUAUAUUAUUACUAGGGAUAUGUUCACAGGACUUGAUAGCUAUCCCUACAUUACACCCGGCACGGCCCGGUCUCCAGUCGGGCCGUCCCGAACCGGGUAUCAACCCGACACAGCACAACCCAGUUUCAAGAACCUGGAGCCAGGUCGCGCUGGGGAGCCAGAUCUGACAUGCCUGGCCCGACCCGAAGCUCGAUCAAAGAAAANAUAUAUAUAUAUAUAUAUAUAUAUAUAUAUAUAUAUAUAUAUAUAUAUAUAUAUAUAUAUAUAUAUAUAUAUAGCUAGGCUCCUACGCUUUCGAAAGUACGGGGGCCUCCUUACUUGUAAGUUGUUUUCGACGAUGGGACGUCCGAUUCGGCGAUCGAUUCCGUUAGACAUGAUCUACGCUAUUGGAACUACCUAAAAACCAAAUUUUAUAAAUUUUUGACUUCGUUUGUCUAGUAAACGAGUAGCCUCAAAAUAAACGGCUGAAAAUAAAAAUCUUAUAAAAAACAGUGGUAAAGGACUCAAAUUUCAAAUCGAAAGUAUUGGUCUUACUAUUGACAUUAAGUAGAAUUUUCUAUUAAAUUUUUAUCUAAUUUGAAUACUUCUACACCGUUGAACUUAAAAACGUACCGCAUCGACCAUUAAAAGUCAUUUUUGGGACCUUUUGAUCGCUUAGUAAAUGAUGUCAAAAAAUUAUGAAAUUUGGUUUCUAGAUAAUUCCAAAGGGGUAGAUUAUACCUAACAGAGCCGAUCGUCGAAUCGGAUGUCUUAUCAUCGAAAACAACUUACAAGUAUGGAAGUCCCGGUACUUUCGAAAGUAUAGUAGAUGCACUCAUAUAUAUAUAUAUAUAGAGAGAGAGAGAGAGAGAGAGAGAGAGAGAGAGAGAGAGAGUGAUAAAAUAUUGCGCUAAUGUGGUAAAUAUAAAUCAACGCUUAUAUGAUAAUUCUCAUUUUGAAACCAAUGGUACUUAAUUUUUUAAGGAAGAGAUUUAUUUGCAAUAAUUGAUAAACGUUUAUUAUUAAAUUACAAAAGUUAUAAAAAUUUCAAAAAAAGAAAAAAGGCACUUUUUUUGUUGCCAAACAAACUUACAAAAUAUAUAUUAUCUUCUUUUUUUCCGUCUUAAUUUGCAGGAUACCGUAGGAAGAAGAUGGUCGCAAUGCAGAAUAAAAGAGACCCAAAAGAGAACCUAAUUUGUGUUGGUGCUGCUGAGUUAAUUUUCGUGCAUGUGGCUUAAAAGUAUUCUGGCUUAAUUCUAUAAUAAGAAGAUGACCGGACCGCUAUAUAUAGAGAUAUGUAAUUCUGAUGUGUAUGGUCCAAGAAGUAAUACUUGUUUGGCUGUAAUAAAUUAUAAGAUAAACUUCAAAUGUCAUCUUUAUGGUUUCGCACUUUCUUAUUUUAGUACUCUGUGGUUUAAAAUAUAUCAAUUUAUUAUCCUACGUUUUUAUUUUUCUCUUGUUAUCAGCUCUUUCGUAAUAUUUUAUUAAAUUAUAUACAAAAAAUUUUAGAUACCAUAUAUAGGUUUAUCGAAUAUUUACUUUAGUACCUUUUAGUUUUAAUUUUAUCACUGAUUUAACGAAAAAAAAAUUAGUGGAGAAAAUAAUAAAAAGAGAAAAUAAAAUCACGGGUACUAAAUAAUACAGUUUAAAGCGCAGAGUACUAAAAUAAAAAAAAAACACGAAACCAUAUGGGUGGUAUUUAAAGUUUUCUCUAAAUUAUAUGUCCUGAUUAAUUUAUGGUCAAAAUCUACAGGUUAACCUAAUAUUUAAUUGCACCUAAGCUGUUGAAUUAACUCUUUUCCAAGAAAGUAAGAAAGAAAAGUAAAAUUAAAAAAAUGGUAAGCACGAUCGGUGUAAAUUUGAGGUAUGAUGAACGAGAUAUCAUGGGCAUUAGAGACACCAUAUCAGCAAUAUUAUUGUCACAUUUUAGAUUUUUUUUAUUUUCUUAUGUUGUAAGUAGCUAACAUUUUUUUUUAAAAAAAAUCCUUCAAAUAAUUUGAAAGAAAAUAAAAAAAAAAAAAGAAAAACUAAUGGUGCUUAAACAAAAAGUCCCAUUAUGGAUGUGAAAAAUUUUAGAAUGUACCCGUUAUAUUAAUGAUCUGGUGUCACAUCAUAAUUAUAAAAAAUUAUUUUUAUUGUAUUUUUUUUUCUAAAAAAAAUAUAUAAUUAGCAUGUUAUUGCUGAUGUGGUGCAAGUACAAUACAAUAAACUUUCUCUAUAACUGUAUCCCGAAAAUAAAAGAAAAAGAAAAAAAAUUUGGAUGGGGAGGAAAACCACAGGACACUCCGUUACUUUAUAUAGCUUUAAAAUUCAUGUCAUUUACAUGAUAAACUAUGGACGAAGCGGUCUCAUCUUGAAAAUCCUCCUCAUCAUAAUAUAAAUUGUUUAUAUGUUAUUGGCUAUAUAUGUUUUCUCUUCUAAUUGUAAAUUAGGAGUUUCUCUUAGUCUUAUAUAUAAUUAUUUAGGAUCAGAUAAUAAAGUAAUUCAUAUUAUUCUGAGAAAAUAAUUUAAGGCCACACAUACUAUAUAUGUUAUUAGUUAUAAACAUAGAAUCAUACUCUCCAUAUGAUCGACAAUUGUUUUAAAAUUCUUUAAUAAAUAAAAAAAUAUCAAAUAGGAUGUCUAUCCAAUCAUCCAAAAUUAUCGAUGUUAAGAGUGAAAGAUUAAUAAUAAUCAUUUCAUAUUAAAAAUGGCAACUUACGGCCUAAGACAAGGCCAUUUCGCAUCCAAAAUUCGGAUCGAAUAUGAAACGAGUGCGGUGUUGGCUCAACCCCUUCGAAUCCUAUCGAAUUUCAUAAAGUUCAAUCUCUUCGUGAUCCUCAACCCAUUCGAAUCGCAAAAUUUUUCUUCUCAUCUUAUACUGUUCAAUCAUACCUUGACUAACACAUGAAAAAUAUUUCUUAUAUAUAAAUCUCAUAUCAACUUAAUCACCAUCACCACAGCCCAUAUGGUUGUGCCAUUCAUUGUAGCUCUCGAUCAUCUCAACAAACAUAUUAGAAUUUGACAAUAUAAAUAGAAAAACCAAACAUUUUCCCUCUUUCUUUUUGUUUUUCUCCAAUUUUUUCUUUUUUUUAAUCAUGCUUAGUAAUACAUAAUUCUACUGAGAAAGCAGUGCCCCAAUGUUAUCUGCUAGGCUCUUCACUGUGGUAGGAGACACAGCUCUGCUUCCCCCCAGGUACCAUUUUUGGAUCAUCUGCGCAACGUUGGCAUUUUCCACCACCAUUUUCACUUCUCCUUUUUCCUCCGUCGCAAAUGUUAUCUGCGCUCGUAACCGACAAACGAAAGCGCUUGAUAUUAGUAAAGCUAGAAAUGUAUGGUUUUAGAGCUCAAGUUCAUAAGAAAGAAUUGACGUUCGCCACUAUUUUUCUUCAUUUUGUAACAAAAUUUUCAAAAACGAAACUCACAACUCACCGACCGACCGUCAGAUAUUUUCAAGGGCUAAAGAUAAGUAAGUAAAAUAUUAAUACAAGAACUAUCCCUACGUACAUGCGUGUUUAUCAUUUCAUCUCGUAUAUAUUGCUAAGUUAAAAGUUAUCAAAAUAUUACAGAAAGAGUAAUAUCUGCUCUAUUAAUGAUAAUUAAUUUAUGCCAAAGAUGCUAACGUUGAAGGAACUUUGAUGGUGAUCAUUCCUUUACCUCUGCAGUGCGAGAAGCUACAGGAAAAUAGAAAGUGAUCACUGAAUCCUUCUUGAAAUAUUUGGUUUGGAAAAACUCGGCAAUCUUGUCAAGUGCCUCUUCUUCCUCUUCUUCGUACUUGUCGACGGCCACCAAUCGGUCUCUCACCGAGCUCUCUAACUGUACGCCGUACUGCGAACCCUUUAUCUCCUUUAUCACAACCACUUUGAAAUAUUUCUCCACGGGAGCUGCAGAUGAAUCAUGUAGCAAUGUACAUAUAUAGUUACUCGUUGAAGUCAUGCCAGACUCCUAACAUAAUUAAUUUCCUUCUUUUUAAUUCAAAUUCACGCCAUGGGUCUUCCAAAAAGUCUCGAGCCCAGGCGUGAGGGAGAGUGUUAAAUAUAAAAUUAUAUCAACACUCUUCUCUAAACUUAAACUUUUAGAGUACAACGGUUGUUUCACAUAAAAUAACAUAAGUUACUUUUCUAUUAAUAAAAUGCUAUACUUUAAACCACAAAAUAAUGAUUUGGUCGAUAUACUUUAAACCACAAAAUAAUGAUUAAUUUGCUCAUAUGUCGACCGCUAAAUUUUAAUUUUUCGAAGUUAAUUAUAUAUUGAAAUUAAAUCUCACCUGAAACAAGUGCCUCAAAGAAGGAAUCAUCUUCAGCAAGCAGUGUUCCCUUUUUGCCCUUCCAAUUUCCCAAAUGAUCAACAAUUUUUUCCUUUUCCAAGUAAAUCCCAAUUGCAUUGUACUUGAUUUGUAGGAAAUGAAUUUCUAUAUCAGUAAUACCUGUAAAUGGUACACAUAGUACAACUCCAAAAUUCAAUGUCUCAUAGAUAUAAUUUGACUAUAAAUGACAGAAUAUAUAUGUCAUGGAUAGAUCCCAAAUGUUUAAACAUUUCUUGAAACUUGAUUUUUUUUGAAUUAUUUAAUGAUCCCGUCAAAUUUCGCAGCUCUAACUAUUUUAUAGCCGAAAAACGUUCAGAUCAUCAACAGUUAAUGGAUUCAUUCAGAAUAACUCAAAUCAAAAUAAAAUAAAAGUUAGAAAAUGUUCAAAUAGUACAAUAAAAAGAAAAAUAAAGCUCUGGAGCCUAGUAUUUCAAAAAGUAAACUUCAAAUACCCCUCCUAGUUUCGCAUUUUCUCACUUCAGUACCAUGUGGUUUAAAGUGUAUCAAUUUAGUACUCUGUGAUUUUAAAUUUUUUUUUUGUCAGAUUUUUUUUCGUUAAAUCAGUGACAAAGUUAAAACUAAAAGGUACUAAAGUGAAUAUUCGAUAAAUCUAGAUGGGAUAUGGAAGUUUUUUAUAUAUAAUUUAACGAAAUGUUAACGGAUGAGCUAACGAAAAGAAAAAUAAAAUAAAAUUAUAGAGUAGUAAAUUGAUACACUUUAAACCACGUGAUAUUAAAGUAAGAAAAUAUAAAACCAUAGGGAUGGUAAGAACAUAAUUAAAGUAGCAUAAUAUGUAACACAUACCAUGACCCAAUAGUGUUAAGGGUUUAGUCACUGUGAUCUCAGGAGCAAAUGGGACUCCAUCCACCAUCACCAUCUCAGAACCCACUACACAGUUUUAAAAGCCAAUCAAACAUUAUCCAAAAGGAAAAAAAAAUAAAAAAAGAAAAAGAUAAAUCACCACAAUAUAUAUAAACUAAAUAAAUUAAUUAAUAAAGAAGUAAAAGUAAUUCACAAAAUUGAUUUUUAGUUUGAAAACACUUAUGGAUGCACAAAAAAAAAAAAAAAGAACAAAUGAGAGGUGCUCUUACUGUGAGAGGGGGGGGGGGGGGAGGGGGGGGUAGAAGCACAAAAGAGAAUGGUGUGGAGACAUUUGAGAGAAAGAUAGUGAGGGGUUUUAAAGAGACAACAAGUGGUUUAGUAGGAGGGGUAGUGGAAAAAAAAAAAAAAAAAAAAAAAAAAACUCAUGCUAAUACCACCUCUCCAUGAAGUUAUUGCUUGCACCUGGUGCUCUGCGCCUCGUGCAUCGCAAUCAACCAACCAUUCAUUAUAUUUCAAAAUUUUAUUCAUGGUUUGCGGCUUGCAAUUGUUUGCAUGUGCAGGAGAAAGCCGUGCGGUAGCGAGCAAACGCACAGUAUUUUAGGGCACAUUUAUUAAGAUAUAUAUAUUCUACAAUUGUUUUCUAAUAAAUCGAUCUGUUGGGUUGCAUGAUGUUAGAGUUAAUUCUAAACUCUUUUAUUAUAUAAGAUCGUAAAUUCAAUUCCCACCUUUAAUAUUUAACUAGUUAAAUAUAUUCUCAUCUUCUAUUUCACCUAUUAAUUCUGUGUUUCUUUCAUAUUCAUUAUGCACGUGAGUAAAGUUAUAAAUAUAUAUUUUUGAACUCAUUUUCUACUAAAUUAUAAUCAUAGAGCGAUAUUUUUUGUAACAAUAAUUGCAUAAUAACAUUGUAAUAUUUGAAGCAUAACUCACUAUUGUUAUUUUAGCAGUACAAGAUCAAGUUAAUAAGCCUUUAAAAAAUAUAUAAAAAAAAAUUAUAACAUGGAAUUUGUUCAUAUAUAUAGCAUCCAACCAACCGUUUGCAUCAAACAUCUUCAAACUUUAGUUAUAAAUUAUUGAAAAAACUUUAAAUACCAUCUAUGCAUGUGGUUUCUCACUUUCUCAUUUUAAUACAUGUGGUUUAAAGUGUUUUCGUACCAUGUAAUUUUAUUCUUCUCUUUUUAUUAUUUCUUUACUAAUUUUUUUCGUUAAAUCAGUGAAAAAGUUAAAACUAAAAGGUACUAAAGUAAAAAUUCAAUAAACUAUAGGUGGGUAUCUAAAGUUUUUUAUAUAUAAUUUAAUAAAAAGUUAACAGAGGAGCCGACGAAAAGAAAAAAAAUAAAACUAUAGGGUAUUAAAUGGAUACAUUUUAAAUUGUAGGGUAUUAAAGUGAAAAAAUGCAAAACUAAAGGGAUGGUACUUGAAGUUUACCCAUUAUUAUAAAAAAAAACUUAUAUGUAUAUAUUGCUCAGUCGACGGUGGAGAUUUAAAAUUGAGACGUGAUCGACGGGCGGAUGGGUGCGGUGCACGAACCGUACACAUACACCGGGUGCAGACAAGAACGUUCUCCUCCUCAGGUGCUUCCUGGACCGGUGGUUGUUACACGCAACUCGCGCCCAACCAAAACUCCUCGGUUUCCGUGUAACGCUUACUUGUCAUUGUUCCUAGGCUGACACGUGGACGUCGAAGUUGAAAUGUACCUAACAUUUUCGCCCAUGGCUACGGGAAUUUUGCAAAUAUAUUUUUUGCGUCAUUAUUACAUCUCAAUAAUAUUUUAGGAGCAAUAAAUAAAUCUUUUGAGGUCAAUAUAGUGAUUAAUAUUUUUUUGAUUGGUGACGUUAAAAAGCGUGAUUUUAUUGUGCACGCAUUAGAUAUAAUAAAUCUGAUCAAUAUCUAUGGUAGAUAAGAGAUUUUUGGUCACAAAAAUUGUUGUUGGACAUUUAUUGUACAUAUAAUUUUUGGUGGGCUAAAUAAAUAUGGUACAAAUAAAUUAAAUACUCAAAUGACCUAUACCUACCAUACAAGUUUUCUAAAUCUAAAACUAUAAUUGAAAAGGAAAAGUAUUACACAAAAAGAAUAUUUAUAAAACUAAGAAAAGAAAAAGUAUUUAGCGCAUUAAGGCUUAGUUUGGUAUUGAGGCCUAUCUAACGCUAUAAGAUAAAAUUGAGUUGUGGAAAAAGCAUAUAGAAAUAUACUUCUGCGUUCUCCGAUGGGACUGCAGAAAAUUAUAACGUAACCGACUCAUCACGAUAUGCGGAACGUAAUAUUACGUACGGAAACAAACAUGUAUUUUCUCACCGCACGUAACGCAAUCUCCCCGCAAUCCCAAACGAAGCCUAAGAAACAUCGGAGCUGCUUGGUAUCCAUAGUCAUAUGAUACUAUUAAGCAGAAUAAAAAUAUUCUUUUAGACAUGUCAUAUAAAAAUGUAUUUUUUUGUUUUUUCGACAAGACCAUUAAAAUAAUAUUAUAAUCGAUUUAUUGCAAUAUGUAUAAUAUCGUAUUACUUACAUAGGAGCAAACGAAAUAUAUUUUUACCUUAUUUUCUCACCACACAUAGGCAUUUUUCUUACUUUAAUCUUUUUCUAAUAUUAGUUUUGUGAAAUACUAUUACCAUUUAUCGCCUUAAUAAUUUUCAGAUAAUUUUUGUCCUUAAAAAGUAUUUAAAUAUUUAUUUAAAUAAUUUUAAUCAUCACUACAGUUUUCGUGUCGGGCUCCGGCCCAUGAUGAACUCGGCCCAUAUGGCCACGGACCGUCCGGCCCGUUUUACAUUCCCAAGAGAAAAAAAAAAAUUAUACAAAAAUAAUUAAAUUUUUUUAAAUAAUAAAAUCCCCCUCAUUACUACUACGCCUAAAAAAAAAAAAAAAAAAGUCUCCAGUGGAAAAACCCUUAUCUUAAAAGCGAGCGCGCGGGGGGAAAUGGCUUCGCUGCGUCUUCGUCUCCCUCACAGCAAUGGUCGCCUCCUCUUCUCCUCCUCCUCAUCAUCAUCGUCGUCAUCGUCGUCUCUCUUUCUAUGGAACCCUAACCCUCAAUUGCCCAUGAGACCUUGCUCUCGAUUCCCAAGUAAUCGUUCUCUUUCUCUCUCUCUCUCUCUCUCUAUAUGUAUAUGUAUAUAUGUAGAAUGUGGGGUGGGGGUUUUGAGGUGGAGGGUGUUGUGGGGUUGCAGAGAUAUACGCUUUCUCCAGCAACGACAUCAAGGUGGGAUCCAACAUCGAGGUGGAUGGGUCGCCGUGGAGAGUUCUUGGUAACGAGCUCUCACCUCCUUUUCUCUCUCUUGCGUUUCUCUUUGCCCUUUUCAAAUUUUCAAUUUUGGUUUAGUCUCUCGCUGCUAAAACAACAAAACCCUGAUUUUUAAGAAAAAAAGUUGUUUUUUUUUUAAUGAGUCAUUGUACUGUUGAAGAGGGUAAAAUUAUCAUUUUGUGAGAAAAAAAAGAGUUUUUUUUUGGGGGGUUUCAUGUGGAGGAUUAAAAUUGCGGAAGUUGGUUUUGUUACAAAAAAAAACUGAAGUGUUUAAGCAGAAAAAGUUUAUGUUCCGUGAAAGCGAUUCAUACAAUGAGAAUCCACAAUGCACAUGAAUAUUGUGUGAUUUUUGUGUUGUAUUUAUGGUAUAUGGUUCCUUUAUGCCCAUACUUAAUUUAUUGGGUAAUGUUUGAUCACGUCAAGAUGCUUGAAUUUACAGAGACUGGGAAGUGGUGAACAAAGUAAAGCAAAUCAGAAAACUGAUUAGUUCAGAAUGGCUAUUAAGCUGAUAUUUUCCCACCUUUUUUAGGUCUAUUUUAUGAUGUGAAUUGGCAACUGUAAGAACUUAUUACUAUUUAGUAGUUCUUGGCUCGGUUACUUAUAUGCAGCAGAACGGAUUAUAAUUUGCGAGGAUUAAUUGGUAAGUUUGUGGUGCGUAAGUUUUAACUUCUUCUUAUUGGAUGGCAAAUAUAGAAUUUCUUCAUGUCAAGCCCGGGAAGGGUGCUGCAUUUGUAAGGACGAAAGUGCGGAAUUACAUCACAGGCAACACAGUUGAGAAAACAUUUCGAGCUGGAAGUUCGGUAAAUACAAGCAUAAGUUAUAUCUUUAAGAUUCUUUAAAUUGGGAUACACUGGUAUUAGAUAUAUGUUUACUCAUUGAUUCUAUCAUGGUAGAUGCCAUAUUCGAGAAACAAACCAUUAUUCAUAUCGUUCAGCAAUAUUUGUCUUGCCAAGACCUCAAUGUAGUGUGUUUUAAUAUAUUUUUCAUAAUAACUCUUUUAAGAGAUAAAUGUAUGACAUUCGUUGAAUCUUCGUGCUUUUGUGAAUAAGCUACCAAAAUCAUAGUUUUGAAACUGAUUCCUUUAACUCGUAUAUAGUGUGUUCGACCUAUUAUUCAUAAUUGCUUAUCUAAGCAAUAUGUUUGCACACCCUAUGCAGCUUUUUUCAUUUGUUGUAACCGGAAGCCACAGGUCUCUGCGCAUAGCCGCAUAUUAUGCAGAUUUUUUGUUCUAAUCAGUUUUAGUUUGUUCAAAUAAAUGUCUUUACUUUUGGGUACAUAUUUUUGGUGUAGAACACCAAGUAUGUUUAAUCGUAUGCAUCAUAACAUUAGACUUAGCUAAUUUGACUACUUGGGACGAGAAUUGUUUUUGGUGCCGUAUAGUCAUCAAUCUGUAUCAUCACAAUCUAUUUGUAUGGCCAUUCUUCACCAACAGUCCUUCUCAAGUUCAGUUGUUUUUACAUGUACUCAUCUUUUUGGUUUUCAUGAAUUUGGUAUUAAUUUAUAUUUUUGAUUCUCAAAUACUAUUAACUCUCUUUGGUACUUUAUACUGAUGUCCUGACAAUUUCUUUAACUUUUAUACUCUUUCAGAUACAAGAGGCAAAUAUUGUAAAAGAAACAAAACAGUUCACUUACAAGGAUGGGAACCAAUUUGUUUUCAUGGAUCUGGUACUUGUCUAUAAAUGUUUUUGCAAACCUGUCUUAUACACCUUGUGUGUCCUUUACUGGUCAUUAUACCUUGAGUUACCUUCACUGAUGCGAUACUCUACAUAUCGGAUAAUCCCAUUAGAUUCUCCCAAGUAAGAAAAAUAAAAUAAAAUAGCAGGAAUGAGAAUUGUGGAAAUAUAUUUGUAAUUAUGCAUGAAGUCAUCAAUCAAGGGAACCUUUCAGUUAGAAACUAGAGAUUGUAUGUCUCAUCACCACUCGUUAAUGGUUUUACAAUCUUUAAUUUUGUGAAUAAGUAUAUCUAGAGGGCUAUGCUUGACAAGUUGAUAUUGGUAUGGAAUAUUGGAAUAGUUCUUCCAUAUCUCUUCAAUUCUUCCCUGGAUGGCAGGUCAUGUGCAUUUCGGAUUGCUAACCCAUACGGUCUUUCCAAUAGUGUCAUGGAGAGUGUAAUUUAUGACAUUUGUAUGUUACAACUUACAAGGACCUGUCUUUGUUAUUAUUUAUUACAACAUAUGUGGCAAUACAAAAUGCGCAUAAUUCUAUUCUUAUUUUUACAUCCUGUAACUAUAUUUGUUUGAAGGAAAAAAAAUUGAAAAAACUAUGCUGGAACACAAUUUUAUUAUGAUGCAAUGAAGCGUAGAGUUUGUACACUAGUUAUGUUAAGAGGGAUUGUUCUCAGGCCCUUGAGAUUUUCUCAAAGGCUUAGCUUUUGCUCUCUUAUUCCUGAAAUAGGGAACUUUGCUUCUGAUAUAUAUAAUAUUUUUUUAUAUUUUUGGGAGCCAUUUAAUGAUGUAUGUUAGGUGUAAAUUUCCAGUAAGGUAGAACUCUAUUAUUUAGUAAUUAUGAUAUAUUAUAAUGUUCAACAGGCUUCUUUUGAAGAAUGCCGUUUAAAUGAAGCGGAAGUUGGCGACAAAAAGAAAUGGCUGAAAGAAGGAAUGGAUUGUAAUCUGCUUUUCUGGAAUGGGCGGGUAAUUCUGUUUGGUUUUUUUUUCUCAUCUGCUCGUUUGGCCCAUCUCAUCUGCAUAAAAGAUUAUGUAAUUUAUACACAUUUUAUCAUUGAUUGUUGAUGUGGUUGAUACAUUCAGUGCGAGUAUUGAGAUUAGAUGAAUGUGACGGUCCUAAAAUCGUGUAGUUUUUCUCAGGUUAUUGAUUUUGAACUUCCCAUCACUGUUAAGCUAACUGUGGUUGAUGUCGAUCCUGGUGUGAGAGGUGACACUGCACAAGGUACUUUUUUUUUCCUUUUGUCUUGUGGUUAAUAUUUACUGCAGAAUAUAUAAUCUCCAUAAUGUAGUCUUAUAUUUCUGCCGGAGUUCCAUGGAAUAGUGAUUGCUUAGUUGGAGGUUCAUCGAUUUUAUUCCUAGUUGUAAACACUAAUACUUUUAAUCUAGUAAGGAAAAACUUGGUCUAUUCAGUAAGAUCUUGUUCAGGACUUCAGAUUUCUUGUUCUUUGAAUCAACUUGUGCCCCUCUCAUUUGAUACAUUUCUACAGUUUGUAUAAAUAUGCAUACUACCUAUGUACUAAACAUAGGGCUCUCCUCAAUAAUAGAAAAAAAGGAAUAAGAGUUAAAAACUAGUGUUCAGGAAUUCUAAUGUUACUGAUUAGAGCAUCUAUAUUCCAGGGGGAUCAAAACCAGCAACACUUGACACGGGUGCCGUGGUGAACGUGCCGUUGUUUGUAGAAGUCGGCGAAGAGAUAUUGGUGGACACAAGGACAGGCCAAUAUAUGAGCCGAGCGUAAGGGAAAUCUAAUGAAUAAUUUUUUUUGAGCCAGAGUUUUCCUUUUUCGACUUUCGAUUUGUUGUCCACUUUCUUGCUGUUGAGGAUUUCGACUUUUGUUUCCAGAAAACAUAAUUAGAAGCAGAUUCUGUUGUAUACAUUGCAUCUUAUAUACAGAUUUGCAGUUCUCUCAGCCUAUUUGGUAAAAUUAGAAACUGUGAAAACAUGUAAAUUGCACAAUCUGGGAUCUGUGUGUUUAUUUUGUUAAUGCUGUUUGGUACCAAAUCAAAGUAGAGUUGAAUUGAUUUUCAAAUCAGUGAAUUCGCAUGACUUUUGAGUGAAUGUGAUUGACUUGAAAUUUACUGUUCACUGUUUCUGUUUUAUCCUUGCGGGAUCCGCAAAGGAGUUUUUGAGUAUUUUGGUUAGAUAAGUUUUAUUUAUAUUUGAGAAUUACAAAUCAUGGCAAAUUCGAUAUCAAAAAUUACCCCAUUUGCUUAAUACUUUUUGAAAUCAUUCCAAAGCAUCUAAAAUCAAGUUAAACAGAACCUCUAAUAUUUCCAAAUAAGAGCCGUCUCAAAUAACUGACCGUUUCUGGCACAAGCGAUAAAAGAUUUGAUGGUUGAUAGCUAUGUUUUCAAGUUCGACAUCUAGCUGCUUUAUAUUUUCAACUAAGUUUAUCUCUUAAAAAAAUGAAUAAGGUGGAUAUUAUGCUCUCUCUCUCUCUCAAAGAACAAGAGUCUCAGAUAGAUUCUAAUUGCAAAAGAAAAGGUUGUUAGUACUCCUUAUUCUCUCACAAAGAAAAAAGAGAUUAGGAGUAUCUUAACUGUGUUACUUAUUUUGAUAGACCCACACAUGUAACAUUGCAUCGAACAACAUUAUAACCUAUAACGCAACAACUAAACUGACCCAUAGUAUAAGAUUUGUUCAUUUCAUGGUAACAUUGGUAUAUUAAAUCUUUUGAACAUUAUUUAUAGUUGAUGUAUAAACUAAGCAACCAGGGCAUGAGUGAUGAUACAAGCCCUAGGACUUUAACAUGCUAGCCAUAAAUCCUCAUCAUAAGCUUUGAUGAGUGGAGUGAUAUUAACUCUCCCAACAAACAAAAUAAGCUCUUCCCAGGCCCCAUGACCUAGUAAAAAGUUGUGCAAGGGAACAUCACACAAUGGGUCACACCACAACACAUCCCUUUCACUUUUCCUUUAAAUGAUACCUGGCCCAUUUUCUUUCUUUUCUUUUCUUUUCUUUUCUUUUCUUUUCUCUCUCUCUCUCUCUCUUCUUGGCCUUUGAGCUUUGGUUGUAGGACUAGAAAUUAGGGUUAGGGUUUGGAUGGGGGCUCUUUGCAGAAGCAAGUGUUUAAAAUGAGAGGCAAGAUGAGCUGGCAAAAAGCAGGGGACUUUUACAGCAUGUGCCAGCAUCAAUGGAUGCUUUUUAUGCCUGGGAGGUCAUUUUCAACUGAUUAAGAAAAUGUAGUAAAAAGAAAAGGAAAUGCAACAUGAGUAGGUUGGAACUAUGGAAUUGUUUAGGGACCAUUAGUUUACUCUUUUAUGUUUGGCAAAGAAUGCUAGCAAUAUGAUCCAUGUUCCAUUUGAGUUGUACAAAAUUUUCAUAGGCUACUAAGAAGAGAGCUAUGCAUUAUUCACUUUUUCUUAGAACCUAUAUCUGGCCUUUGGAGAGCUUCUAUAUAAGUGUUGUUUAGUAAGCUAUUUGAAGAAAUAUUUUAAUCUUUAUAUUAAAAUUCUCUACCAGCUGCUCUCUGAAGCUGCAAAGCUUCGGAUAAGAGUUUUUUAACCUUGGAGUUUCAUAAUUUCAUCUCAGCUUUUCGAAACUUCCCAAACUUCACAAUUUGAUUCGUUGAACAUUUGGCUUUCGAAAGUAGCUAUAUCGGAAAGUUGGCCAAAAAAGUAGUUAAUAUUGAAUUCUCCUUCACCGUUUUUCUCAAUAACUUGAUCUUGACAAUGGUUCCUUUUGUCCCUUUUUUUUUUUUCUUUUAUUUAACUUUUUCUGAUGACUAGAGGGUUUAGUUAUGUAGUCUAUCCAAGAACAUGUAGAUAUGUAGUCUUUUAGUUACUUGAUACCAAGAAAGGAAACAUUCUUGUUUGUGUAUUAGGGUUUAAUUAAGCCUUCAUUUAACUUAAAAAACCAACAUAGAUCUACUUUAUCUUUGUGAUUAAGGAGCUAGAGAGAGAGGUACAGGUCAUGUGCAUAAGAAAGAAUAUUAGUUUCGUAUCGGGCAAAAAUUUAAACUCUAAUCUAUACUAGACCUAAAUCCUUUGGCAUAAUAUUUAGUAUCAGAGCUUGAUUCACGUUUAUUUUGUUUCUGGCUCAAUUUCUUUCGGUUUAGCCUUGUUUCAAUCUAGCUUCAUCUGGUUCUUACUUAGAUCGAUUAUGGUUGGAAUUGGAUUUGCCGAUGCAUAACACAAUUGUGAAAUAAACUAGAUUUUGUUGCAUAGCUGCUAAAUCUCCACAUUGUUAUGUUUCAACAUUUUGAUUAUACAAUAUGAUCAAAUAUUAUCAAAAGAAGUGAUCUUCAUUGCUGCACUCACAACCUUUUUAGCCAUAUAUAACAUCACCACCCUGCAUGAUCCUCUAAACACAACAUUGCUUGGUAUUGUUUUACAUUUAUUUACUCAUUUAUUUCUCUCCUGUCAUGUACUUUUUAUUAAUUUAUUACUGUUGUUUACACUUUGUUUAAUGCCCCACAUGAGUUACAGAGAAUCCCAGCUCAGGUACCUUCUAAUCUUGUGGACAACUUUAGGACAAAGGGAGUGGUUAUAAUUUCCUUAAUUUAAAUAAUGAACUAAGAUAAUGAGGAUUUAGAUGCAUUGUAAAGAACCAUAACAUGAAAGUAGGGUUGAGUUAAAAAUUUACUCCCUAGUGUUUGACUUGGAUAUAUUUGUUUAGUCCUAAGAUGAUGCUAGAGAAAAUUUAGCAUAGUAUUACAAUCUAUGAAUUGUGAAGUUCUUGUGAGUUAUCAAACAAUGUUAAGAGCUCAGUGAAAACAAAUUCAUUGGUACAAAACAACACAAAACAAAAGUUUGAAAACAUUUUCACCUCCCCUCACCAACAAUAGUAUUAGAUUAGAAAAUAGAUGCCAUCUAUUUUCACCCAUAAACAAACAAACCAGUUUUCUCUUCAAUCUAAAAUCCUAUAUUUCUCUUCAUAUUGUAAAUCCCAGCUAAAAAGGACCAAAAACAAAAACAAGAGUAGCCUAAAUCAACUCCUCUUCUGGGCUAUCUUGUGGGCACCUGAUGAGCUCCAAAAUGUUCACCACCUCGGCCAUGUCGGGCCGGUUCGACGGCACCUGUGACGUGCAAAUCAACCCUAAUUUCACAACCGACACCGCCUCCUCGACUGGAAACUUACCCCCUAACCUCUCGUCAAUACACUCCCCCACUCUCCUUUCCUCCAAUGCCCCCCUCACCACAUCGCAAAGGACCACCACAUCAUCCUCCAUGUACUCCACAGGCCGCCGCCCCGUCACUAUCUCAAGCGCCAAAACCCCGAACCCGUACACGUCGCACUUCUCAGUGAUCUUCAUGAUUUUACAUGCGAAUUCCGGUGCCAUGUAUCCAAGCGCGCUUUGGACUUUGCUACUAAGAACAUAUCGGUCUAGCAUCGGCAGCAGUUUGGCCAAUCCGUAGUCCCCGACCUUGGGUUCACCCGCCCCAUCGAUAAGAAUGUUGCUUGAUUUGAGAUUGUAGUGAAUUACGUUGUGACGAUGUAAAUGAGCCAAGCUUCUAGCUGUUCCAAGUAUGAUAUCAAACCGUUCCUGCCACGGUAGAUGGUUCGAUGGAGAGCUCUCGUGAAGGUGUUUGUAUAAGCUACCGCCAGGAACAAACUCGUAGAUAAGUAGUUGCAAGGAUGGAGUCCAAUAAUACCCUUCGAAAGCGACGAGAUUUGGGUGCCUUACUUUCCCUAGCUUGUUCACCUGUCUCUCGAAAUCUUCUUGCGACUUCACUAGGCUCGAAACCGUGAGCUUCUUGAUUGCCACCGGACGGCCGUCCCCCAGCAUGGUCUUGUACACAGUACCGAAUCCCCCGCGGCCCAGCUCGCAAUCCUUGUUGAGUAUGGCAUGGGCCCCGAAGCUAAACUGUGGGUCGGUCCCAGAAAACAUUACUAGCUUGCCCGAACUGUCAUCAGUUGCAGGCGAAUGGCAAUGGCUGUAGUAAUCGUCAGAAAGGGCGAGAGCAGCUGUGGAGCGAGAGGCGGAGGAGCGAACUCGGAUGUUAAGGACUGUAAUUGUGAUCACGCCGACCGUGAUUAGGGCAGCGGCCCCAAUGGCUACGAGAGCAGAGAUGCUGAAGAUUAUCUUCUUGUGACGGGCAUCGGAUGGAGAGUUAGGGUUGGAGACAGGAUCGGAGGAGGAGUUAGGAUUUAGGACGAUCGGCUUUGGGAGGACCCCGGGGCACGAGCGGUUAAGGACAGACCCGCAGAGGCCAGGGUUGUCGGAGAGGGAAGACGGGGAAAUGGUGUUAAAAAAGUUUCCGGCGGGGAGGUUGCCGGAAAAGAGGUUGCGGGAGAUGUUGAAGAAGAGGAGGUGAGGGAGGUUGGAGAGUUGCUUAGGGAGAGUGCCAGUGAGUUUAUUGGAGGAUAGGUCAAUUGUUUGGAUGGUGGUGAGAUUGCCUACUGCUGUAGGAAUUGGCCCUGUGAGAUUGUUCUCUGAUAGUAUCCUUCAUGAACAAAAUUCAACCGAAGAACAAAGAAAAAAUUGAAUCAGUUUGCGAUCGAAAACUCUAAAACUAAGAGAACCAGCAAUGAUUUUACCAUUUUUCAAUUCUUUCCUAGAAUGCAAGAUGAUUUAGACAAAAAAAAAACAGAGAAGAAAUGUAUUGAUUAUGAAUUAAAUGACUAGUUUAGUAUUAGCCAACCUGGUCUAAAAGGACAAAUACUAAAGAUUAGGGAGGGUGAUAAACUACGACAAACUGCGCAAAGUUAGCUGAAAAAGUUAAGGAUAAUCCAAAACUACUUUGACUAAGACAGCAGUGCUCACAGAAAAGCGCUUAUCACACCAAAACAAAAGAAGCAAAAAGAAUAAUGUUAUCAGAAACCAAACAAAGAGCUUUGGUGAAAGAUUAGUUCUAAAGGGGAGCUUCAACAAAUCCCUCUCUCUCUCUCUCAAUAAUGAGAGAAAAAGGUUCAGGAACAAUUUAUUCAAUAUUAUUAUUGCAGUAACUAAAUAGAACAUCGAAAUAAGGAGGACAUGAAUGGAAAAAAUAGAAAGGAAAAGAGAAACUUACAAAGAUGUGAGGGAUGAACAGUUCCCUAUCUGCACUGGUAUUUCUCCUGUAAGUGAGUUCUUAUCCAAUCUCAGCACCUUGAGAGAAACCAAUCCCCCAAUUUCAUUUGGGAUGCUCCCAUUCAAUAGGUUCCAACUGAGAUCAAGCACUUCUAAUGACUUGAUCUCUCCAACUGUCACUGGGACAGAACCCGAAAUCGAGUUCUUUGAAAGAUUUAACAGCUUCAGUUCAUGAAAUUUCUUGAUAUCAAGUGGAAUUUCACCAGAAAAUGUGUUGUCAGAUAAAUCCAACAUGCUCAGAUUCUGCGGAGCAUCACUGGGGAUUUGUAUCAUGCCACUCAUUUUGUUACCCGAAAGCGAAAUCCUCUUCAGUCCUGAUCGAAAAAUCCAAGAUGGGUGACUACCCAUCAAAGAAUUCCCGCUGAAGUCCAAUUCCAGCAAGCUUCUGCAAGCACCAAUCGAUUCCGGCAGGUUCCCCGUAAAAUUGUUCUCAGAAAAAUCCAGUUUCUGCAGAAAAGUGAGAUUUUGGAUUGAAUCGGGGACUCGCCCGGCGAACUGGUUGCGCGACAGAUCCAAAAGCUGCAAGCUUUUCAUCUCCCCAAUCCAAUUGGGAACUUGGCCGGACAACGAAUUCGAUCCCAAGCUCAAGUAACUGCACACGGAAAGCUUCUGCAUUGAUUCGGGGAGAUCACCAUUGAGCAAAUUUGAGCUGAGAUCGAGUGUUUUCAACAGAUAGCAGCUGCCGAUGUCGGCGGGGACCGGGCCCGAGAGCCGAUUCCCGCGCAAGUUGAGCGUUCGAAGCUUGUAAAGCUUACCGAUUCCAGCAGGGAGCUCGUCGGAGAAGGAAUUGAAGGAGAGAUCGAGGGAUUUGAGGUUGUACAGGGACCAAAUUGAGCUCGGAAUGGACCCCCGCAACCUGUUCGACGAAAUGUUUAGGCUGACCAGGGCAGAGCACCCGCCCACGCUCGCGGGGACGGCCCCGGUGAGCGCGUUGUCGGCGAGGGAGACCGCGGCUAGGGUUUUGAUCCGGGCGAGGCUAGGGUUCAGCGCCCCGGAGAAGCCGUUGCGGGCGAGGGAGAGCCUCUGGAGCGACUGGAGCUGGAGGAGCCCGCGGGGCUGGAGCUCCCCGGCGAGCCCGAGCCCCGCGAGCGCCAGCUCCGUCACCCGUCCCGAGCGGUGGUCGCACGCGACCCCGGCCCAGGAGCAGGGCGACUCGUCGUCCUCGCUCCACGACCCGAGGCUGGAGCGGGGGUCCCGUAGCCCCGCUUUGAAGACGAUGAGGCCGAGUACGUCGUCGUUAAUGGCGCUAGGCGUGGCGAGUAAACAAGGUAGGAGGAGGAGGAGGAGGAGAAGGAAGAAGACGACGGAGCUGUUACAUAGUAAUGGCGCCAUUUUCGUGGUGCUUUUUUUCAAAAAAAAUUUCCUUUUGUUCUUGGAAAAUGCUAGUUCGCCAUUAAUGGCGAGCUCGCGAGAGAGAGAGAGAGAGAGAGAGAGGGAGAAAUGGAGUUUUACUACGCAUCCAAAAUGGAGCUCUCUCUCUCUUUCGCUGUGCAUUAACACACUAUGUCUAUAUAUAUAUAUAUAUAUAUAUAUAUGUUGAGCACGAAGGAGUGAGGCUACUGUGUACACUUAAUACUCGUUGCUCGCCAUUGAAAUUUGCUUCUCCAUUAUGCGCGUAUCACUGUUUCAGGCUGAGAGAUGGGGCCCACAUGUGAGUCUUUUGACAAACUAAUUUAUUGUGCGCACCUGGUGCACAGUAAACCGUGCACCGUGCCUGUAAACCUCUCUCUAUUUGAGUAUUUAUUACCAUUUUGGGACAAUUGGUUACAUACUUUUGAAAUAUUUUCAACUUUUCUAUUUACCCUUCAUAGAAGGCUAGUAGUAGAAAUGCUCUUUUAUUUUUAAAAAAUUCUUUGAAAUAUAUCCUCAAAAUUAAAUUUUGUUAGUGAACUAUUAGGAACCGCUGUUAUCUAUGUGAGAUUACUCUUUUGUCCUUUCAAAUAUAUUUUUCUUUCGUCACCAACUUUUAUUAUUUGCCCCUUAAGUUAGGGAUAAAAUAAGUAUUUCGAUUUUUUAUACUUUCAAAUAUUCUGUUAUAUCAUUAUUAACUUUUCUUAUUUGUCCUUAAGGUAAGACAAAAUAGGUAUUUUUAUUAAUUUUUUAACUAUUGUUGAAAUUAAACUCAGGUUUAAUCCGAGAUGAUUUAAUGAACACUAACAAUAGAUGUCUUUUAAAUAACCCAUAAAAUAUACGAGGGAUAUACUUGAAAUAAAAAAAAAUAAGAACAAAAAAAAAUAUUUCAAAGAUUUUGAGAAAUAUAUAGACAAUUAUCUCUACAAUUUUCUACUUGGAACUCCAAGUUAGCUCACUAAAAACUGACGUGUCAAUGAUGUGAUAUUUUAGUGUUUAUAAAUUUAUAUUAUAUUUUUUACUACAUUGGCGGUAUAUUAGUAUCUAGUCAAUUGUAUAAUUAGACUGUAAAUUUAAUUAUAAAAAUAUAAAAUUUGUAAUUAUUUAUAAGGGUAAAAUGAAACUCUUUUAGCAAUUUAGAAACCAUCAAAGAGAACUAAAAUGAAACUUCGCCAAAAAAGAAAAAAGGAAAAAGUUUGGGAUUAAUGGUGCAAUUUACCUUAAAAAAUUUAUCAAAUUAUGUGUAGCCCAAAUGAAGCGCAGUGCUUUUACAACUACAUUUAUUUUCUCAUAAGGAGGGUUGGUUGUUGAAACUUGAAACAUGUAUAUCAUGGAUGGCACAAACACAAUAACUCAGUAAUUAUUAUUAUUAUUAUUAAAAGCAUUAAAAUAUGGCUUCUUUUGAUGUAGCACAACACCAUAACUACGUAGUAUUGUAGUUAAUGCAUGAGAGCUUUUCAACUUUCAAAGAUAACUAUAUAUUCAUUUUUUUCCCUUAUAAUUUAAUUAGAUUUGAGAUAGAAUAUUUGUAGUGAGUAUCUUUACUUUCGCGUCCUUUUUUAUGAUAAGAUACUCAUAUCGAUGAUCAACACACAGUUAGUUAAACAUUUAAAAGGCUUUAAAAUUAAUAAUUUUUAAUAGCAAAUAUAAGAUGCAUUUAGGUUCAUUUUUCUUAUUCUAGUUUUCGCCAUCUUCUUUUUUCAAUAUACAUUCCUAUACUAUUUUUUUUUUAUCGACAAUCUUUACAUUUUUAUUAAGGAACUAAUUGUUUUAGAUGAAAGUUAGCUAAUAACUUUUUUAAAAGACAAUGUUAGAUAGUAGGAAAGAUAUAAAUGAUUCUCUCCAUUAUAGAUACAUUGAUAACUUUUCUCAACUUAUUUUAAACUAUAUUUUCAACCUCUUUUGUUUUUUAUUUUCUGUGUCAAAAUGAGCUAUAUANGGCCUAUAUAUAUUUAUACUCUGCUACUUUCAAUCAGCAUUUUUUAGUAAAACUGCUAAAUUUCAUCUAUAUUUAUAGAUUUAUUAUUUAUAUAUAUUAUAUUGAUUAAAAAAAGUUAGUGAUAUCUCUAAAAAUAUAAAUACAUUGUCGAAAGUGAAAAAACCCUCUAGCAUAGUAAUAUAAUGCUUAAUCGAUACUUACAUUGAAAUAAACUUUCUGAUGAAUUAGAGUACAGAUAAAAAUUACUUUUCUCUUUUUUUUGAUUAAAAUUCUAGAUCUAAAUCUAAAGUACAGUAUAAAUAUUCAUAAAAUUUUUGUAUAGUCGUAUAAUUAAAAAGAUAAUAUAAUAUAGUAAAUAAGUAACACUAAAGCUAGAGUACAUCAGGGUACUAAGCUACAGUACAUCAGGGUGUGUAAUUAACCCUUCUUUAAUGAGUGGGUUUUUAACUCUUCCCAAAAUAUUCAAUGUGGGGCUCUACUCCUUUUUUGGCUCUCCAUUUGCAUUAAUUGAUCAUUAAAUGCGUGGUCGUUUUACCUCAUUAAAUGCUACCAAAUUUUAAAAUGGAGGGAACUUGUAAUCAAUUUAAAUUUCAUUGCAUACACCUAUUGUAUAACUAUAUCUCAUAUACCUUUUUUUUUUUUUUAAUCCCAGAGAUCUCUUAAUUAGAAAUUUAGCUUGNCAUUAGGCAUAGAGAGAAUUUCAAUGAGUUUGGAAAGCACCACCCACCUUGUAGGUCUAUUUAGGUGCUCCGAGGAUUUUCUUGGGAUUUUUAGACCUCUCGUUCUUUACCUGCGGCAAAACGAACCCUUAUUAGGCCAUUUUGCUCAUAACUUUACUUUGACUUUUCGAAAUGCUUUUCCGAGCGCACCAACGCGUCGGGAAUAUCCCCAAUUAGGUUUUUAGAGGGUCAAUUGCACUUAGAAACCCUUAUGAGCAAAAGCCCCAAUUUGGGUGCCCUAGCUCCAAUGUAUAUCAAAACCUAGGGUUUGAUCUCAUUGGGAAGCAAAAGUAGCUUCAUUAUACUCUAAUUAGUCCAUUAGAACCAUUCUUAGGCUUUCCAAAACCCUAGUUUGGAUUUCACCAUUAGAGGUGGUCCAAGCUCACCUAUGUAUCAAAACUAGGUUUUGAUCUCUUUAGAAGCAAAAGAAAGCUUCAAAACUACUAUAUAUUCCAUUAAAAACCAACCUUAGGUUCAUUCAAACCCAUUUCUAGGGUUUUACUACAUUAGGGUUUGAAGCUUACCUUAUAAGCUUCCCUUUCUUCAAGCUAGAGAUGAAGGAGAAGGAGUUUCUUCACUUCUUCUUCUUCUUCUCCACUUUCUUCCUCUUCUCUUCCUUCUUUUCUUCCUUUCUUCUUCUUCUUCUUCUUCUUCUUUUGUCUUCUAGAGAGAGAGAGGGAGAGAAGAGAGUGUGAGAGGGAGUGGAAUGAGAGGAAAAACCCCUCAGCCCCCUAACAUAGCUCAAUGGGUUGCAAAAAUGCUAAUAAACCCCUCAACUUUCACUUUAUUACACUGCCCGAACUGGGCAGUUCGCGCAGGCAGAGACCGGUCUCCCCGAGCAGGGACCGGUUCCCGAACGUUGUCCCAGCGCGGCCAGAGCUGCCGCGCGCAGUGCAACCGGUCUCUCCCUAUGGGACCGGUCUCUGGGGGACCGGUCUCUCAGACAGAGACCGGUUCCCGAGAGCUGAUCCUCCAGGACUUAGCCGAUUUUUCGGCUAUCUCACUCUGCACGCGUUCGGGGACCGGUCUCUCCCUUUAGGGACCGGUCCCCGAGAGCUGAAAAUCUGCAGUUUUGCAGAAUUCAAUUCUUUAGCUCUCGAAAACCUUCCACAACUCACUUUUAAUCAUCUUAACACCUUCGGACUCUCCGAAGUGUUCCAUCCUCGCACUUUGGUCAAUUUGACUAAAGUUCGACAUCUUUAUUUUCCGAAUUUUCGGUAUAUUACAGCUAUAAUCAAUCUUAAUUGGGAUUUAAUUUACAUACCCCCAAAUCGAAGCUCCUUCUUCCAGAUUUCUUCAGUUCAGACCAGCAGGGGCUUCAACUUCACCACUUCUUCUAUUUUUGGCAGCCAAUACUUAAUCAUUUAACUCUUUUCUAAACUAACCACUUCGAUUUUAAUUUAAAAUGGCAUCAACUUACUUUAAUCUAGGAUCUUAUCAAGUUGAUCUCAGCACCAACAACACCAACAGCAUCAUCUCCCAUCUCGAUUACCUCUCGCAGCUCAGCACAGGGGAGAAUCCAACUCUCUCAAACUUUUUCUCCCUAAACUUGUUCUUAGGGCUGAGAGAAAAGAGAGAGGAAGAAGUUGGAUGUAAUCAAGCUGAUGAAGGGGUUACCUAGCACGUGUACAACUUCCACUCAGCUGGGGUUAAGUGAUAAGCUCAGAAAACUGCAUCUUAACCCCUUAAACUUGCAAAAAUGCAUUGCAGCCUGCAGGUUUACAAUUCAGCCCCUGCAGGUUCGCAGUUUAGUCUCUGCAGGUUCGCAGUUUAGUCCCUGCACUAACAACAAGCUGGCAGCAGCAAAUUUAAAGCCUUCUUGCGCGUCUAGUUCGCUUCGAACACUCCUAAUCCCUUCCAAUUCACGCCAAAUAACCUCUACAAAUUGCCAAAUUAAUUUGGAAGCAAAUAAUUUUUAUUUUAGCAAUAUUGUGAUCAAUUUGAUCCCAAUCGACUAAAAUUUCAGCUUUCAAGUAGCAAUGGCAAUUGGAUGUCUUUAGCCACUCCAAUUCCAUUCAUGUCUAUUCUCACACUUCCAAAACAUAUGUCAACGACAGAUCACAAGCUGCUAAUUAAUUUUAGAAAUGCUUAAUUUGCAUUUUAGCAUUAUUGUGAUCACUUUAAUCACAAUUAGCUUCUAAUCAAAUUUUCAGUCUAUUACACAUAGGUUGGACAAGAGUGGCAUUGAACCUAGUGUUAAAGAACAUAGGUUGAGAAUUGAACCUAGAAUCAUAUAAACCUAGGUUAUGUGAUAAAAGCAUUAAAUCUAUGGUCAAAUGGAUCUAGGAUGGAAAGGAUAUUGGACAUAGAUAGGUCGACACUAUAGGAUUAAGACCAACCCUUGAGCUAUGUGAAAUGGAUUUCGGAAUCCCAGAACUUAUGGAUCACACCGAGAAGGGUGUGGGGCGUGUGCGACGAUUUCGCAGCCAGAUGGUUAAGCCGGUUUGUGGAUUAUACCGCCGGUUGACUUGAGCCAUGGCGGGGCGUGUGCAACGAUUUUGCCGCCGGGUUGCUAAGUCAUGCAGCGCGGUAGGCUGUGGUUGGCUGAGGUGCAUGUGAGAGUUCCUUCACCUCGAGCCGGACAGAGCGCGGAUUAUCCGUAGUUGAUUGACUCAAGAUCGAGUCGAGUGGCAUAGUGUGACUAAGGUAAGAGUAACCUUAGGAAAGAAUGGUAAAUGAGCAUAAUAUGGCUAAGGUGUGAGUACCCUUAGUACAGAAUAAAGAAUAGUUAAAAAUAAAAAAUGGCUAACAAUAAAAGAGUGGCAAAUGAUAGAGAGUAAAACCAUUUAAUCUACUUGCAUAGUUGCAUGAAUUUCAUGUUGCAUGUUUUGAGGCACAUUCAUGUAUUUUAAUAUUGCAUAAAAUACUUGUAGAUAUCUGUUGGACUAACAUGAUUGCAGUGCCUCCUUGGACCUGGUGGGUUGAGCUUUUCCCUUGGGUGGUCGUACCCACUGGGAACUAUAUUUAUAUAGUUCUCACCCCCGUGUGGUUUUGAGGGUUAUAGGUUCACACGCGAGCGGCGCGGCGCCGCGAGGAAAGGGCGCAGCUUCGUAGAUAGCGCCCUACCCCAGAGACCAGAUGUAGCACACUGGACCUUUGCAAAUUGCGAGGUUCGAGUGUUUGAUCUGUGUUCCGAGUUUUUUCAGAUAUUCUGGAGGGUCGUUGACAGUGUUCCGACCUAUGGCUUGUAUCCCGAGAAUUAUAGUAUUUAAAGUAGCGCUAAGGUCACCAAAGCAAUCGACUUUGGCUGCUCUCGGGUUGUAAUUUUCUAGGAAGUGUACCGGUACACCUUGAUGGUUGUACCGAUACAGAAAGUGUACCGGUGACAACUCAAUGGUUGUACCGGUACAAGUGGGAUUUUCUGCCAACCCGAGGCUCGGAAAGAUUAGACCUAGUGGAAAAACCGGCGGCGUCGGCGGCCAAACCCACUGGAAACUAUAUUUAUAUAGUUCUCACCCCAUAUGGUUUUGGGGUACAGGUACACACAGGGGCGAGCUGAGCGAGGAUCGCGGCAAGGGUAUGGCGCCCAAAGUGAGUUAGUUAGUAGCUUUCCGUUAUGCAUUAGAGUACCCUCGUGUACUAGAUACCAUGUAUAUUUUGGAUAGAAAUUGGAGAGCCAUGAUGUAUUUUGGAAAAUAUGUAUUUACAUUUUGGAAAAUGAAAAUGUAAUGUAAUCAAAUGAUGUAACUAUUGAAUGGUUGUAAUAGUUAGACUAUC
RNAcentral lists this long non-coding RNA (71295 nucleotides) under Ananas comosus (pineapple). RNAcentral's name for it is "long non-coding RNA (ACOM_LNC020576)". Lineage: Eukaryota; Viridiplantae; Streptophyta; Magnoliopsida; Poales; Bromeliaceae. The record is from RNAcentral.